UUGAAGCACCACUAGGUGAUGCACCUGUUUUCCCAGCAACUCAAGACGUUCUGAACGCUUGGCAGUCGCGUAGUGAUGAUUACUCCCUGGUUCAGUGCGGCAUGCUUUACAGCUUAGAACCGGGGCUCCAAAAACGUUUUGAGCAGCACGGAGCAUAUGAGAUGUUACAAGAGCUGAAAAUGGUUUUCCAAGCUCAUGCCCGGGUCGAGAGAUAUGAAGUCUCCGACAAGUUCUACAGUUGUAAGAUGGAGGAGAAUAGUUCCGUCAGCGAACACAUACUCAAAAUGUCUGGGUUGCACAACCGCUUGUCUCAGCUGGGAGGUCAUCUCCCGGAUGACGCGGUCGUUGACAGAAUCCUUCAGUCGCUCCCACCUAGCUACAAGAGCUUCGUGAUGAACUUCAAUAUGCAGGGGAUGGAAAAGACCAUUCCUGAGGUAUAUUCAAUGCUGAAAUCAGCAGAGGUGGAGAUCAAAAGGGAACAUCAAGUGUUGAUGGUGAAUAAAACCACUAAGUUCAAGAAAGGCAAGGGUAAGAAGAACUUCAAGAAAGACGGCAAGGGAGUUGCCGCGCCCGGUAAGCAAGCUGCCGGGAAGAAGACAAAGAAUGGACCUAAGCCUGAGACUGAGUGCUUAUAUUGCAAGGGAAACGGUCACUGGAAGCGGAACUGCCCCAAGUACUUAGCGGAUAAGAAGGCCGGCAAUACCAAAGGUAUAUGUGAUAUACAUGUUAUUGAUGUGUACCUAACCAGCGCUCAUAGUAGCUCCUGGGUAUUUGAUACCGGUGCGGUUGCUCAUAUUUGUAACUCAAAGCAGGAGCUGCGAAAUAAGCGGAGACUGACGAAGGACGAGAUGACGAUGCGCGUCGGGAAUGGUUCCAAGGUCGAUGUGAUCGACGUCGGCACGCUACCUCUACAUUUACCUACGGGAUUAGUUUUAAACCUCAAUAAUUGUUAUUUAGUGCCAGCUUUGAGCAUGAACAUUGUAUCUGGAUCUCGUUUAAUGCGAGAUGGCUACUCAUUUAAAUCCGAGAAUAAUGGUUGUUCUAUUUAUAUGAGAGAUAUGUUUUAUGGUCAUGCCCCGCUGGUCAAUGGUUUAUUCUUAAUGAAUCUCAAACGUGAUGUUACACAUAUUCAUAGUGUGAAUGCCAAGAAAUGUAAGGUUGAUAAUGAUAGUCCCACAUACUUGUGGCACUGCCGCCUUGGUCACAUUGGUGUCAAACGCAUGAAGAAACUCCAUGCAUAUGGACUUUUGGAGUCUCUUGAUUAUGAAUCAUUUGACACGUGCGAACCAUGCCUCAUGGGCAAAAUGACCAAGACUCCGUUCUCCAGAACAAUGGAGCGAGCAACCAACUUAUUGGAAAUCAUACAUACUGAUGUGUGCGGUCCAAUGAGCGUUGAGGCUCGCGGUGGCUAUCGUUAUGUUCUCACCCUCACUGAUGACUUGAGUAGAUAUGGGUAUGUCUACUUAAUGAAACACAAGUCUGAGACCUUUGAAAAGUUCAAGGAAUUUUAGAGUGAGGUUGAGAAUCAACGUGACAGGAAAAUAAAGUUCUUACGAUCAGAUCGUGGAGGGGAAUAUUUGAGUCACGAAUUUGGCACACACUUAAGGAAAUGUGGAAUUGUUUCACAACUCACGCCGCCUGGAACACCUCAGCGUAAUGGUGUGUCCGAACGUCGUAAUCGCACUCUAUUGGAUAUGGUGCGAUCUAUGAUGUCUCUUACCGAUGUACCGCUAUCAUUAUGGGGUUAUGAUUUAUAGACUGCCGCAUUCACUUUAAAUAGGGCUCCGUCGAAAUCCGUUGAGACGACACCGUAUGAAUUAUGGUUUGGAAAGAAACCUAAGCUGUCGUUUCUUAAAGUUUGGGGAUGCGAUGCUUAUGUCAAGAAACUUCAACCUGAAAAGCUCGAACCCAAGUCGGAAAAAUGCGUCUUCAUAGGAUACCCUAAGGAAACCAUUGGGCAUACCUUCUACCUCAGAUCCGAAGGCAAGAUCUUCGUUGCCAAGAACGGGUCCUUUCUGGAGAAAGAGUUUCUCUCAAAAGAAGUAAGUGGGAGGAAAGUGGAACUUGAUGAGAUGACCCCUCUCGAACCAGAAAGUAGCACAACACAAGAAAAUGUUUCUGUGGUGCCUACACCGACUACAGAGGAAGUUAAUGAUGACGAUCAUGAUCAAGUUACCACUGAACUUCGUAGGUCCACAAGGACACGUUCCGCACCAGAGUGGUACGGCAACCCUGUUCUGGAAAUCAUGUUGUUGGACAACGGUGAACCUUCGAACUAUGAAGAAGCAAUGGCGGGUCCAGGUUCCAACAAAUGGCUUGAAGCCAUGCAGUCCGAGAUAGGAUCCAUGUAUGAAAACAAAGUAUGGACUUUGACAGACUUGCCCGAUGAUCGGCGAGCGAUAGAAAAUAAAUGGAUCUUUAAGAAGAAGACGGACGCAGAUGGAAAUGUUACCAUCUAUAAAGCUCGACUUGUCGCUAAGGGUUAUCGACAAGUUCAAGGAGUUGACUACGAUGAGACCUUCUCACCCGUAGCGAAGCUGAAGUCCCUCAGAAUCAUGUUAGCAAUUGCCGCAUUCUACGAUUAUGAGAUAUGGCGUAUGGACGUCAAAACGGCAUUCCUUAACGGUUUUCUUAAGGAAGAAUUGUAUAUGAUGCAGACGGAAGGUUUUAUCGAUCCUAAGAAUGCUAACAAAGUAUGCAAGCUCCAGCGCUCAAUCUAUGGGCUGGUGCAGGCAUCUCGGAGUUGGAACAUUCGCUUUGAUGAGAUGAUCAAAGCGUUUGGGUUUACGCAGACUUAUGGAGAAGACUGUGUUUACAAGAAAGUGAGUGGGAGCUCUGUAGCAUUUCUCUUAUUAUAUGUGGAUGACAUACUAUUGAUGGGAAAUGAUAUAGAAUUCUUGGAAAGUAUAAAGGCCUACUUGAAUAAGUGUUUUUCAAUGAAGGACCUUGGAGAAGCUGCUUACAUAUUAGGCAUCAAGAUCUGUAGAGAUAGAUCGAGACGCCUCAUAGGUCUUUCGCAAAGCACAUACCUUGACAAGAUAUUGAAGAAGUUCAACACGGAUCAGUCCAAGAAGGGGUCCUUGCCUGUAUUGCAAGUGUUGGGGAACGUAGCAGAAAUUCAAAAUUUUCUACGCAUCACCAAGAUCAAUCUAUGGAGUACUCUAGCAACGAGGGGAAGGGGAGUGGAUCUACAUACCCUUGUAGAUCGUGAUGCGGAAGCGUUGCAAGAACGCGGAUGAAGGAGUCGUACUCGUAGCGAUUCAGAUCGCGGUUGAUUCCGAUCUAAGCACCGAAGAACGGUGCCUCCGCGUUCAACACACGUGCAGCCCGGUGACGUCUCCCACGCCUUGAUCCAGCAAGGUGAGAGGGAGAGGUUGGGGAAGACUCCAUCCAGCAGCAGCACGACGGCAUGGUGGUGAUGGAGGAGCGUGGCAAUCCCGCAGGGCUUCGCCAAGCACCGCGGGAGAGGAGGAGGAGGGAGAGGGGUAGGGCUGCGCCGAGAGAGAGACGUUCUCGUGUCUUGGGCAGCCCCAAACCUCAACUAUAUAUAGGGGGGGAGGGGGCUGCGCCCCCUCUAGGGUUUCCACCCCAAGGGCUGGCGGCCAGCCCUAGUUCCCAAGGGGGGCGGCCAAGGGGAGGAGAGGGGGGGCGCCCCACUAGAUGGGCCCUAAGGCCCAUCUGGACCUAGGGUUUGCCCCCUCCCACUCUCCCAUGCGCCUUGGGCCUUGGUGGGGGGGGGGAGGGGCGCACCAGCCCACCUGGGGCUGGUCCCCUCCCACACUUGGCCCACGCAGCCUUCUGGGGCUGGUGGCCCCACUUGGUGGACCCUCGGGACCCUCCCGGUGGUCCCGAUACAUUACCGAUAACACCCGAAACUUUUCCGGUGACCAAAACAGGACUUCCCAUAUAUAAAUCUUUACCUCCGGACCAUUCCGGAACUCCUCGUGACGUCCGGGAUCUCAUCCGGGACUCCGAACAACAUUCGGUAACCACGUAUAUCUAUUCCCUAUAACCCUAGCGUCAUCGAACCUUAAGUGUGUAGACCCUACGGGUUCGGGAACCAUGCAGACAUGACCGAGACGUUCUCCGGUCAAUAACCAACAGCAGAAUCUGUAUACCCAUGUUGGCUCCCACAUGUUCCACGAUGAUCUCAUCGGAUGAACCACGAUGUCGGGGAUUCAAUCAAUCCCGUAUACAAUUCCCUUUGUCUAUCGAUAUGUUACUUGCCCGAGAUUCGAUCGUCGGUAUCCCUAUACCUUGUUCAAUCUCGUUACCGGCAAGUCUCUUUACUCGUUCCGUAACUCACAUCAUCCCGUGAUCAACUCCUUGGUCACAUUGUGCACAUUAUGAUGAUGUCCUACUGAGUGGGCCCAGAGAUACCUCUCCGUUUACACGGAGUGACAAAUCCCAGUCUCGAUUCGUGCCAACCCAACAGACACUUUCGGAGAUACCUGUAGUGCACCUUUAUAGCCACCCAGUUACGUUGUGACGUUUGGUACACCCAAAGCAUUCCUACGGUAUCCGGGAGUUGCACAAUCUCAUGGUCUAAGGAAAUGAUACUUGACAUUAGAAAAGCUCUGAGCAAACGAACUACACGAUCUUGUGCUAGGCUUAGGAUUGGGUCUUGUCCAUCACAUCAUUCUCCUAAUGAUGUGAUCCCGUUAUCAACGACAUCCAAUGUCCAUGGUCAGGAAACCGUAACCAUCUAUUGAUCAACGAGCUAGUCAACUAGAGGCUUACUAGGGACAUGGUGUUGUCUAUGUAUCCACACAUGUAUCUGAGUUUCCUAUCAAUACAAUUCUAGCAUUGAUAAUAAACGAUUAUCAUGAACAAGGAAAUAUAAUAAUAACCUAUUUAUUAUUGCCUCUAGGGCAUAUUUCCAACAUUCUCCCACUUGCACUAGAGUCAAUAAUCUAGUUCACAUCGCAUGUGAUUAACACUCAUAGGUCACAUCACCAUGUGACCAACAUCAAAGAGUUCACUAGAGUCAACAAUUUAGUUCACAUCACUAUGUGAUUAACACUCAAUGUGUUCUGGUUUGAUCAUGUUAUGCUUGUGAGAGAGGUUAUUAGUCAACGGGUCUGAACCUUUCAGAUCCGUGUGUGCUUUACGAAUAUCUAUGUCAUCUUGUGGAUGCUACCACGCCCUAUUUGGAGCCAUUUCAAAUAAUUGCUCUACUAUACGAAUCCGGUUUACUACUCAUAGUCAUCCGGAUUAGUGUCAAAGUUCACAUCGACGUAACUCUUUACGACGAACUCCUUUUCACCUCCAUAAUCGAGAAAAUUCCUUAGUCCACUAGAUACUAAGGAUAAGUUCGACCGCUGUCAUGUGAUCCAUUCCCGGAUCACUAUUGUACCCCUUGACCAACUCAUGGCAAGGCACACUUCAUGUGCGGCACACAGCAUAGCAUACUGUAGAGCCUACGUCUAAAGCAUAGGGGACGACCUUCGUCCUUUCUCUCUCUUCUGCUGUGGUCAGGUCUUGAGUCUUACUCAAUACUCACACCUUGUAACUCAGCCAAGAACUCCUUCUUUGCUGAUCUAUUUUGAACUCUUUCAAAAUCAUUUCAAGGUGUGCGUUCUUUGAAAGUAUCAUCAGGCGUCUUGAUCUAUCUCUAUAGAUCUUGAUGCCCAAUAUGUAAGCAGCUUUAUCCAGGUCUUCCUUUGAAAAACUCCUUUCAAACAACCCUUUAUGCUCUCCAGAAAUUUUACAUCAUUUCGGAUCAACAAUAUGUCAUUCACAUAUACUUAUCAGAAAUGUUGUGGCGCUCCCACUCACUUUAUUGUAAAUACAAGUUUCUAACAAACUUUGUAUAAACCCAAAAACUUUGAUCACUCCAUCAAAGCGUAUAUUCUGACUCCGAGAUGCUUGCUCUAAUCCAUGGAAGGAUCGCUGGAGCUAGCAUACCUUUUAGCAUCCUUAGGAUCGACAAAAACCUUUCUGAUUGUAUCACAUACAACCUUUCCUUACGAAAACUGGUAAGGAAACUUGUUUUGACAUCCAUCUGCCAGAUUUCAUAAAUGCAGCUAAUGCUAACAUGAUUCCGACGGACUUAAGCAUCGCUACGGAUGAGAAAAUCUCAUCGUAGUCAACUCCUUGAACUUGUGGAAAUACUCUUUGCCACAAAUCGAGCUUCAUAGACAGUAACAUCACCGUCCACGUCCGUCUUCUUCUCAAAGAUCCAUUUAUCUCGGAUUUCAUGGCUUCUAACCAUUUGUCGGAAUAUGGGCCGACCAUCGCUUCUCCAUAGCUCGUAGGUUCAUUGUUGUCUAACAACAUGACUUUCAAGACAGGAUCACGUACCACUCUGAAGUAGCACGCAUCCUCGUCGUCCUACGAGGUUUAGUAGUGACUUGAUCCGAAGUUUCAUGAUCACUAUCAUAAGCUUCCACUUCAAUUGGUGUAGGUGCCACAGGAACAACUUCAUGUGCCCUGCUACACACUAGUUGUAGUGACGGUUCAAUAACCUUAUCAAGUCUCCACCAUCCUCCCACUCAAUUCUUUCGAGAGAAACUUUUCCUCGAGAAAGGACCUAUUUCUAGAAGCAAUUACUUUUGCUUCCAGAUCUGAAAUAGGAGGUAUACCCAAUUGUUUUUGGGUAUUCUAUGAAGACGCAUUUAUCCGCUUUGGGUUCGAGCUUAUCAGCCUGAAACUUUUUCACAUAAGCAUCGCAGCCCCAAACUUUUAAGAAACGACAACUUAGGUUUCUCUAAACGAUGUUGUCUCAACGGAAUUGCGUGGUGCCCCCUUUUAAAGUGAAUGCGGUUGUCUCUAAUGCCUAGCCCAUAAACGAUAGUGGUAAUUCGAUAAGAGACAUCAUGGUAUGCACCAUAUCCAAUAGGGUGCAGUUAUGAUGUUCGGACACACCAUCACACUAUGGUGUUCCAGGCGGUAUUAAUUGUGGAACACUUUCCACAAUGUCUUAAUUGUGUGCCAAACUCGUAACUCAGAUACUCAUCUCUAUGAUCAUAUCACAGACAUCUUAUCCUCUUGUCACGACGAUCUUCAACUUCACUCUGAAAUUACUUAACCUUUCAAUAAUUCAGACUUGUGUUUCAUCAAGUAAAUACACUAUGCAUCUACUCAAAUCAUCUGUGAAGUAAGAACAUAACGAUAUCCACUGCAUGCCUCAGCACUCAUUGGACUGCAUACAUCAAAAUGUAUUACUUCCAAUAAGUUGCUCUCUUGUUCCAUCUUACUGAAAACGAGGCCUUUCAGUCAUCUUGCCCAUGUGGUAUGAUUUGCAUGUCUCAGGUGAUUCAAAAUCAAGUGAGUCCAAACGAUCCAUCUACAUGGAGUUUCUUCAUGCAUAUAUACCAAUACACAUGGUUCGCAUGUCUCAAUCUUUUCAAAAACGACUGAGUCCAAAAAUCCAUCUACAUGGAGCUUCUUCAUGUGUUCUAUACCAAUAUGACUCAAACGGCAGUGCCACAAGUAUGUGGUACUAUCAUUACUAUUUUAUAUCUUUUGGCACGAACAUGUGUAUCACUGCGAUCGAGAUUCAUUUUAUGUGCAAGACCAUUGAAGGUAUUAUUCAAAUAAACAGAGUAACCAUUAUUCUCCUUAAAUGAAUAACCGUAUUGCGAUAAACAUAAUCCAAUCAUGCUCAACGCAAACACCAAAUCUCGAUGGUAGAGGGAGCAUGCGAUGCUUGAUCACAUCAACCUUGGAAACACUUCCAACACAUAUCGUCAUCUCACCUUUAGCUAGUCUCCGUUUAUUCCGCAGCUUUUAUUUCGAGUUACUAACACUUAGCAACCGAACCGGCAUCUAAUUCCCUGGUGCUGCUAGGAGUACUAGUAAAGUACACAUUCAUAUAAUGUAUAUCCAAUAUACUUAUGUCGACCUUGCCUGCCUUCUCAUCUACCAAGUAUCUAGGGUAGUCCUGCUUCAGUGACCGUUCCCCUCAUUACAGAAGCACUUAGUCUCGGGUUUGGGUUCAACCUUGGGAUUCAUCACUGGAGCAGCAAACGACUUGCUGUUUCAUGAAGUAUCCCUUUUGCCCUUGCCCUUCUUAAACUAGUGGUUUUACUAACCAUCAACAAUUGAUGCUCCUUCUUGAUUUCUACUCUCGCAGUGUCAAACAUCGCGAAUAACUCAAGGAUCAUCAUAACUAUCCCUGAUAUGUUAUAGUUCAUCACGAAGCUCUACUAGCUUGGUGGCAGUGACUAUGGAGAACUAUCACUAUCUCAUCUGGGAGAUUAACUCCCACUCGAUUCAAGCGAUUGUGGUACUCAGACAAUCUGAGCACAUGCUCAACGAUUGAGCUUUUCUCCCUUAGUUUGCAGGCUUAAGAAACUUGUCAGAGGUCUCAUACCUCUUGACGUGGGCCCUAGUCUGAAAUCCCAAUUUCAGUCUUCGGAACAUCUCAUAUGUUCUGCGACGUUUCACAAACGUCUUUGGUGCCACAAUUCUAAACCAUUAGAACUAUCACGUAGUCAUCAAAACGUGUAUGUCAGAUGUUUCGCAACAUCUACAGACGACGCUGAGGUUCAGCACACCGAGUGGUGCAUUAAGGACAUAAGCCUUCUGUGCAGCAGUGAGGACAAUCCUCAGUUCACGGACCCAGUCCGCAUAAUUGCUACUACCAACUUUCAACUAAAUUUUCUCUAGGAACAUAUCUUAAACAGUAGAACUAAAGCGCAAGCUAUGACAUAAUUUGCAAAGACCUUUUGAGUAUGUUCAUAAUAAUGAAGUUCAUCUGAUUAUAGAACUCCCACUCAGAUAGACAUCCCUCUAGUCAUCUAAGUGAUACAUGAUCCGAGUCAAACUAGGCCGUGUCCGAUCAUCACGUGAGACGGACUAGUCAUCAUCGGUGAACAUCUCCAUGUUGAUCGCAUCUACUAUACGACUCAUGUUCGACCUUUCGAUCUCUUGUGUUCCGAGGCCAUGUCUGUACAUGCUAGGCUCGUCAGGUCAACCUAAGUGUUUUGCAUGUGUUCCGAGGCCAUGUCUGUACAUGCUAGGCUCGUCAACACCCGUUGUAUUCGAACGUUAGAAUCUAUCACACCCGAUCAUCACGUGGUGCUUCGAAACAACGAACCUUCGCAACGGUGCACAGUUAGGGGGAACACUUUCUUGAAAUUUUAGUGAGGGAUCAUCUUAGUUAUGCUACCUUCGUUCUAAGCAAAUAAGAUGCAUAACAUGAUAAACAUCACAUGCAAUCAAAUAGUGACAUGAUAUGGCCAAUAUCAUUUUGCUCCUUUGAUCUCCAUCUUCGGGGCACAACGAUCAUCUUUGUCACCGGCAUGACACCAUGAUCUCCAUCAUUGUGUCUUCAUGAAGUUGUCACGCCAACGAUUACUUCUACUUCUAUGGCUAACGCACUUAGCAAUAAAGUAAAGUAAUUUACAUGGCGUUAUUCAAUGACACGCAGGUCAUACAAAAAAUAAAGGCAACUCCUAUGGCUCCUGCCGGUUGUCAUAUUCAUCGACAUGCAAGUCGUGAUUCCUAUUACAAGAAUAUGAUCAAUCUCAUACAUCACAUAUAUCAUUCAUCACAUCUUUUGGCCAUAUCACAUCACAUAGCACAUGCUGCAAAAACAAGUUAGACGUCCUCUAAUUGUUGUUGCAGGUUUUUACGUGGCUUGUAUAGGUUUCUAGCAAGAACGUUUCUUACCUACGUAAAACCACAACGUGAUAUGCCAAUUUCUAUUUACCCUUCAUAAGGACCCUUUUCCUCGAAUCCGUUCCAACUAAAGUGGGAGAGACAGACACCCGCUAGCCACCUUAUGCAACUAAUGCAUGUCAGUCGGUGGAACCUGUCCCACGUAAGCGUACGUGUAAGGUCGGUCCGGGCCGCUUCAUCCCACAAUGCCGCCGAAACAAGAUAAGACUAGUAGCGGCAAGAAGAAUUGGCAACAUCUACGCCCACAACUACUUUGUGUUCUACUCGUGCAUAGAAACUACGCAUAGACCUAGCUCAUGAUGCCACUGUUGGGGAACGUAGCAGAAAUUCAAAAUUUUCUACGCAUCACCAAGAUCAAUCUAUGGAGUACUCUAGCAAUGAGGGGAAGGGGAGUGGAUCUACAUACCCUUGUAGAUCGCGAUGCGGAAGCGUUGCAAGAACGCGGAUGAAGGAGUCGUACUCGUAGCGAUUCAGAUCACGGUUGAUUCCGAUCUAAGCACCGAAGAACGGUGCCUCCGCGUUCAACACACGUGCAGCCCAGUGACGUCUCCCACGCCUUGAUCCAGCAAGGUGAGAGGGAGAGGUUGGGGAAGACUGCAUCCAGCAGCAGCACGACGGCAUGGUGGUGAUGGAGGAGCGUGGCAAUCCCGCAGGGCUUCGCCAAGCACCGCGGGAGAGGAGGAGGAGGGAGAGGGGUAGGGCUGCGCCGAAAGAGAGACGUUCUCGUGUCUUGGGCAGCCCCUAACCUCAACUAUAUAUAGGGGGGGAGGGGGCUGCGCCCCCUCUAGGGUUUCCACCCCAAGGGCUGGCGGCCAGCCCUAGAUCCCAUCAAGGGGGGCGGCCAAGGGGAGGAGAGGGGGGGCGCCCCACUAGAUGGGCCCUAAGGCCCAUCUGGACCUAGGGUUUGCCCCCUCCCACUCUCCCAUGCGCCUUGGGCCUUGGUGGGGGGGGGGCGCACCAGCCCACCUGGGGCUGGUCCCCUCCCACACUUGGCCCACGCAGCCUUCUGGGGCUGGUGGCCCCACUUGGUGGACCCCCGGGACCCUCCCGGUGGUCCCGGUACAUUAGCGAUAACACCCGAAACUUUUCCGGUGACCAAAACAGGACUUCCCAUAUAUAAAUCUUUACCUCCGGACCAUUCCGGAACUCCUCGUGACGUCCGGGAUCUCAUCCGGGACUCCGAACAACAUUCGGUAACCACGUAUAUCUAUUCCCUAUAACCGUAGCGUCAUCGAACCUUAAGUGUGUAGACCCUACGGGUUCGGGAACCAUGCAGACAUGACCGAGACGUUCUCCGGUCAAUAACCAACAGCGGGAUCUGGAUACCCAUGUUGGAUCCCACAUGUUCCACGAUGAUCUCAUCGGAUGAACCACGAUGUCGGGGAUUCAAUCAAUCCCGUAUACAAUUCCCUUUGUCUAUCGAUAUGUUACUUGCCCGAGAUUCGAUCGUCGGUAUCCCUAUACCUUGUUCAAUCUCGUUACCGGCAAGUCUCUUUACUCGUUCCGUAACUCACAUCAUCCCGUGAUCAACUCCUUGGUCACAUUGUGCACAUUAUGAUGAUGUCCUACUGAGUGGGCCCAGAGAUACCUCUCCAUUUACACGGAGUGACAAAUCCCAGUCUCGAUUCGUGCCAACCCAACAGACACUUUCGGAGAUACCUGUAGUGCACCUUUAUAGCCACCCAGUUACGUUGUGAUGUUUGGUACACCCAAAGCAUUCCUACGGUAUCCGGGAGUUGCACAAUCUCAUGGUCUAAGGAAAUGAUACUUGACAUUAGAAAAGCUCUGAGCAAACGAACUACACGAUCUUGUGCUAGGCUUAGGAUUGGGUCUUGUCCAUCACAUCAUUCUCCUAAUGAUGUGAUCCCGUUAUCAACGACAUCCAAUGUCCAUGGUCAGGAAACCGUAACCAUCUAUUGAUCAACGAGCUAGUCAACUAGAGGCUUACUAGGGACAUGGUGUUGUCUAUGUAUCCACACAUGUAUCUGAGUUUCCUAUCAAUACAAUUCUAGCAUGGAUAAUAAACGAUUAUCAUGAACAAGGAAAUAUAAUAAUAACCUAUUUAUUAUUGCCUCUAGGGCAUAUUUCCAACAGCAAGGUGUUAGAUUGAGCACGGCUCAAUGCCCGACCACGGCAGAAGAUAGAGAAAAGAUGAGUGUCGUCCCCUAUGCCUCGGCCAUAGGGUCUAUUAUGUAUGCCAUGCUGUGUACCAGACCUGAUGUAAACCUUGCCGUAAGUUUGGUAGGAAGGUACCAAAGUAAUCCCGGCAUGGAACACUGGACAGCGGUCAAGAAUAUCCUGAAGUACCUGAAAAGGACUAAGGAUAUGUUUCUCGUUUAUGGAGGUGACGAAGAGCUCGUCGUAAAGGGUUAUGUCGAUGCUAGCUUCGACACAGAUCUGGAUGACUCUAAGUCACAAACCGGAUACGUGUAUAUUUUGAAUGGUGGGGCAGUCAGCUGGUGCAGUUGCAAGCAAAGCGUCGUGGCGGGAUCUACAUGUGAAGCGUAGUACAUGGCAGCCUCGGAGGCAGCACAUGACGCAAUCUGGAUGAAGGAGUUCAUUGCCGACCUAGGAGUUAUUCCCAAUGGAUCUGGGCCGAUGACUCUCUUCUGUGACAACACUGGAGCUAUUGCCCUUGCCAAGGAGCCCAGGUUUCACAAGAAGACCAGGCACAUCAAGCGUCGCUUCAACUCCAUUCGUGAAAAUGUUCAAAAUGGAGACAUAGAUAUUUGUAAAGUGCAUACGGAUUUGAAUGUCGUAGAUCCGUUGACUAAACCUCUUCCACGAGCGAAACAUGAUCAACACCAGAACUCUAUGGGUGUAUGAUUCAUCACAAUGUAACUAGAUUAUUGAAUCUAGUGCACGUGGGAGACUGUUGGAAAUAUGCCCUAGAGGCAAUAAUAAAAUGGUUAUUAUUAUAUUUCCUUGUUCAUGAUAAUUGUCUAUUGUUCAUGCUAUAAUUGUGUUAUCCGGAAAUCGUAAUACAUGUGUGAACACAUAGACCAUAACAUGUCCCCAGUGAGCCUCUAGUUAACUAGCUCGUUGAUCAAUAGAUGGUUACGGUUUCCUGACCAUGGACAUUGGAUGUCAUUGAUAACGGGAUCACAUCAUUAGGAGAAUGAUGUGAUGGACAAGACCCAAUCCUAAGCAUAGCACUAGAUCGUGUAGUUCGUUUGCUAAAGCUUUUCUAAUGUCAAGUUUCAUUUCCUUAGACCAUGAGAUCGUGCAACUCCCGAAUACCGUAGGAAUGCUUUGGGUGUGCCAAACGUCACAACGAAACUGGGUGGCCAUAAAGGUACACUACAGGUAUCUCCGAAAGUGUCUGUUGGGUUGGCACAGAUCGAGACUGGGAUUUGUCACUCCGUAUGACGGAGAGGUAUCUCUGGGCCCACUCGGUAAUGCAUCAUCAUAAUGAGCUCAAUGUGCCCAAGUGGCUGGUCACGUGAUCAUGCAUUACGGUACGAGUAAAGUGACUUGUCGAUAACGAGAUUGAACGAGGUAUUGGGAUACCGACGAUCGAAUCUCGGGCAAGUAACGUACCGAUUGACAAAGGGAAUUGUAUACGGGAUUACUUGAAUCCUCGACAUCGUGGUUCAUCCGAUGAGAUCAUCGAGGAGCAUGUGGGAGCCAACAUGGGUAUCCAGAUCCCGCUGUUGGUUAUUGACCGGAGAGUCGUCUCGGUCAUGUCUGCGUGUCUCCCGAACCCGUAGGGUCUACAAACUUAAGGUUCGGUGACGCUAGGGUUGUAGAGAUAUUAGUAUGCGGUAACCCGAAAGUUGUUCGGAGUCCCGGAUGAGAUCCCGGACAUCACGAGGAGUUCCGGAAUGGUCCGGAGGUAAAGAUUUGUAUAUAGGAAGUCCAGUUUCGGCCACCGGGAAAGUUUCGGGGGUCACCGGUAUUGUACCGGAACCACCGGAAGGGUCCCGGGGUCCAUCGGGUGGGGCCACCUAUCCCGGAGGGCCCCAUGGGCUGAAGUGGGAAGGGAACCAGCCGUUGGUGGGCUGGUGCGCCCCCCAUGGGCCUCCCCCUGCGCCUAGGGUUGGAAACCCUGGGGGUGGGGGGCGCCCCACCUACUUGGGGGGCAAGUCCCCCCUUUGGCCGCCGCCCCCCCUUGAGAUUAGAUCUCUAGGGGCCGGCGCCCCCCCAGGGCCCCUAUAUAAAGGGGGGGAGGGAGGGCUGCGCACCCCAAGCCCCUGGCGCCUCCCUCUCCCUCCCAUAACACCUCUCCCUCUCGCUGAGCUUGGCGAAGCCCUGCCGAGAUCCCCGCUGCUUCCACCACCACGCCGUCGUGCUGCUGGAUCUCCAUCAACCUCUCCUUCCCCUUGCUGGAUCAAGAAGGAGGAGACGUCUCUCCCAACCGUACGUGUGUUGAACGCGGAGGUGCCGUCCGUUCGGCGCUAGGAUCAUCGGUGAUUUUGAUCACCACGAGUACGACUCCAUCAACCCCGUUCUCUUGAACGCUUCCGCUCGCGAUCUACAAGGGUAUGUAGAUGCACUCCUCUCUCUCGUUGCUAGAUGACUCCAUAGAUUGAUCUUGGUGAUGCGUAGAAAAUUUUAAAUUUCUGCUACGAUCCCCAACAUUGGAUAGUAAGAAUAAUGACUUUGCUAUUAGAGUUGCAACUAGAGGGGGUAAAGUGACUCAGGAACCUUUGUAUCCUGAGGGCCACCCUAAGAGAAUUGAGCAGGAUUCUCAGAGAAAUAAUAUAGAUGCACCCAUUUCUUCUAAGAGGAAGAAAAAGAAAAAUGAUAGGACUUUGCAUGCUUCUAGUGAACCUGUUGCUGACACACUUGAGAAUCCCAAUGAUAUUUCUAUUUCUGAUGCUGAAACACAAUCUGGUAAUGAACAUGAACCUAGUGACAAUGCUAAUGAUGAUGUUCAUGUUGAUGCUCAACCUAGCAAUGACAAUGAUGUAGAAAUUGAACCUGCUGUUGAUCUUGAUAACCCACGAUCAAAGAAUCAACGUUAUGAUAAGAGAGACUUUGUUGCUAGGAAGCACGGUAAAGAAAGAGAGCCAUGGGUUCAGAAACCCAUGCCUUUUCCUCCCAAACCAUCCAAGAAAAAGGAUGAUGAGGAUUUUGAGCACUUUGCUGAAAUGAUUAGACCUAUCUUCUUGCGUAUGCGUUUGACUAAUAUGCUCAAAAUGAAUCCUUAUGCUAAGUAUAUGAAAGAUAUUGUUACAAAUAAAAGAAAGAUACCGGAAGCUGAAAUUUCCACCAUGCUUGCUAAUUAUACUUUUAAGGGUGGAAUACCAAAGAAACUUGGAGAUCCAGGAGUACCAACUAUACCGUGCUCCAUUAAAAGAAACUAUGUUAGAACUGCUUUAUGUGAUCUUGGAGCCGGUGUUAGUGUUAUGCCUCUCUUUAUAUCGUAGACUUGAUUUGAAUAAGUUGACACCUGUUGAAAUAUCUUUGCAAAUGGCUGAUAAAUCAACUGCUAUACCUGUUGGUAUUUGUGAGGAUGUGCCAGUUGUGGUUGCAAACGUUACUAUUUUAACGGACUUUGUUAUUCUUGAUAUUCCCGAGGACGAUAGUAUGUCUAUUAUUGUUGGAAGACCCUUUUUGAAUACUGCAGGGGCUGUUAUUGAUUGCAACAAAGGCAAUGUCACUUUUCAUGUUAAUGGUAAUGAGCAUAAGCUACACUUUCCGAGGAAACAACCUCAAGUCCACAGUACAAACUCUAUUGGAAAAAAUUCCAUCGAUUAUUUUUGGAGGUUUUGAAUUUCCUCUUCCUAUUGUCAAAAAGAGAUAUGAUAUUAUUAUUAUUGGGGACGUGCAUAUCCCCGUUGAGGUAACCUAGUGUUAUUUGAAAUUUCUCCGGUUUCAUGCAAUUCGGAAUGAGUUUGUUAACAAGACCUGAUCAACCUUGUCAGUGGAUUCCUUUUGAUGAGCAUGAGAUGGAUGAAGUUAGAAAGCACAACCUUCUGUACCUCCUUUUACUUUCUGUUAUUUAGUUGAAAUAAAGCAAAAAUAGUAUUUUCUGUCAGUUUUCUGAGUUAUCCGUGCAAUAAAAAAAUACCCCGAAAAUAAAAGUUCUCCAAAUGCCCCGAAAUUGAAAUAUGAUUUUCUCUGGAAUAUUUGAGAAUAUCUGGCACUGAGAACACGGCAGGGGGAGCAAGCACCUAGCCACGAGGGUCCAGGGUGCGCCCCCUGCCUCGUGGGCCCAUGGUGGCUCCCCUCCACUUAUUCCAACCACCACACACUCCUUCUUCCUCCCAAAAGAAUCACCAACCAGCUCAAGCAUGAGUUCUUGCUCAUCUUGCUGCCAUUUUCGAUCUCCUUGCUCAAAGCACCUCUCACAAAACUGCUUUGGGGGAUUGAUCUUUGGUGUGUGACUCCUCCAAUGGUCCAAUUAGUUUUUGUUCUAGUGCUUUAUUCAUUGCAUAUUUUUGCUGCUUAGGUGACCCUGUUCUUUAGCUUGCAUGUCAAAUUUAUAUGGUUCCAAGUAGUUCUAAUGCAUGAUAUAGUAUCUAGGCACUUGUAGGAGUAGUUGCUAUCAAUUUUGUUGAGUUUGGUUCACUUUUAUUUUGAGUUACUAAAAUUUUCAGAAAUUUUUCAGAGGAAGAAAUAUGUUUAGGAAAAUGUACCAAGGUGGUCCUUCAAGGAAACAAGGGCCCAGGCCCGCAAUACGCGAUGCGGACGACGAACCACCGAGGGAAGCUCAAGUGCGGGCUUGUGAAUGGCCUUCAGAGGACUUUAUGGAUCGAGCAGGAAUCAUGGAAGAAUUUAACGCAUAUGUGCAUAACGCUGAUCUUGUGAGCUUCGAGGCAGAUAAGUGCCGUCAGUACCACUAUCUCACUGAUUCCUUUGUGAGAAGGUUUGAAUUUUCAUCUUGACGCAAUUCUCAAACUGUCCUGAAAUUCUUAUACUAUGGAUUUAGAGGAUUUUAAUACUGCUUGCAAACUUCCACAAUGGGGUAGCACUAGUGAGCCUCGCAAAUCUGAGUUUAGAGAUUUUCUUGCUAGUAUAAUUGUGGGGGAAUCUAGAGAUAUAACACAAGCUACCAUAUGGAGCAUUCAUUUUCCUGCUAUACAUUAUUUCGCUCUCUUCAUAGGUAGGUGCAUCAAUGGUAAGGAUGAAGCAUGUCACAUGUGUGUCCCUGAUCUCAGUGUUCUCAAGAGUGCUGUGUUAGGAGAUAAACAUUAUAAUUUGGGAGCCAUUGUUGCACGUAGGUUGCAUAAUAAUAGAAUUAAUGGAGAUUUCUUUGGCAGAAUUUAUGCAACCCGUCUAGCUAAUUUUCUUGGAAUACCUAUUCGUGAUUAUGAUAUGGAAUUGCCUCCUUCUUAUCUAGAUUUUAGUGCCAUGGUUCACCAUCAGUUUGUUGAGAGGAAUGAACCGCCUCUCCAGUACCGACUAAUCUUUGACAGGCGUCAUGCCGUCAAUAUUAUCCUCCCUGCUCCUACUCUCUUUGACUUUCAGGCAAAGGGGAGAUAUGUCAUAACCAGGGAGGAGGCAAAUGAGUACGAGAGGAGGACGAGGGCAGCUCGCCUCCAAGUUGCAUCCCACGAAGCAAUAGCCGCUGCAUCUCAGUAUGACCCUAGUUACAACUUCGGAUAUCCGCCAGGCCAGCCGUGGUAGUAGACCAACUUAGGCCAAAAGCCUAAGCUUGGGGGAGUACGUAUUUGUCACCGACAUUAUAUUCAUGUUCACACACUCAUGCUAGUUGUCGGUGCUCAUACUUUCUCACUGUAAUAUCCAUGCUAGUUUAUUUUCCUUUUUAUGUUUUCUUCUUGUGUGUUUGAAAAACCUUAAGAAAAACCAAAAAAAAUUGUUGUAGCUUUUAGCUAGUUUAGUUUCUUGCUUGUAGUAGUAUUAAUUAAAAGAAAACACAAAAAGAUUUCCUGUUCUUAUUUUGCUUGUUGGGAGCUUUCCCGUGUAAAUAGUUUUAUUUAUUUUCUUCUCUUUUCUUUGGGGUCGUGGGGAGAAGACCAUUAUGAAAAUGUUGGAGUGGCUCUUGUAUACAUUAUUGUUGAUUUAACCAAGAGCCCAUAUUGCCUUGUCUUCUCCUGUUUAUUGAAUGCUUGCAGAUUCCAGCUUAGUCCAAUGCAUGUGCACUAUUAUUAUUAUACACAUCGUUCGGUCGUGCAACUGAAAGGCAAUUAUGACGAUAUAUGAUGGACUGAUUGAGAUGAGAAAAGCUGGUAUGAACUCGACCUCUCUUAUUUUUGUAAAUAUGAUUAGUUUAUCGUUCCUGAUUCAGCCUAUUAUGAAUAAACAUGUUUGCAAUGACAAUUAGAGAUUAUAGUUUCUUAUGCCAUGCUUAAUUAGCUAGGAGUUUAUAAUGGUUUACCUUGCGUGCCAACAUGCUAUUAAAAUGUUUGUUAUGUGGUAUGAUAGGGUGGUAUCCUCCUUUGAAUGAUUUAAGUGACUUGACUUGGCACAUGUUCACACAUGUAGUUGAAACAAAAUUCAACAUAGCCUUCACGAUAUUUAUGUUCAUGGUGUAUUAUAUCCUACUCAUGCUUGCACUCAAUGUUCAUUAAUUUUAAUGCAUGUUCAUGACUGUUGUCGCUCUCUAGUUGAUCGCUUCCCAGUCUUUUGCUAGCCUUCACUUGUACUAAGCGGGAAUAUUGCCUGUGCAUCCAUUUCCUUAAACCCCAAAGUUAUUCCAUAUGAGUCCACUAUACCUUCCUAUAUGCGGUAUCUACCUGCCGUUCCAAGUAAAUUUGUAUGUGCCAAACUCCAAACCUUCAAAUGAAAUUCUGUUUUGUAUGCUCGAAUAGCUCAUGUAUCAACUAGGGUUGUCUGUAUCUUACAUGCUAGGCGGGUUAUUCUCAAGAGGAGUGGACUCCGCUCCUCACUCACGAGAAAAUGGCUGGUCACCGGGAUGCCCAGUCCCAUGCUUUAUGCAAAUCAAAUCAAAAUAAUUGCAAACAAAACUUACCCAGGAUUGUUGUUAGUUGGAGGCACCCGUUGUUUCGGACAAGCCAUGGAUUGAUGUUUGUUGUGGAGGGGGAGUAUAAACUUUACCACUCUGUUUGGGAACCGCCUAUAAUGUGUGUAGCAUGGAAGAUAUCGCCAUCUCUCAGUUGUUAUGUUGACAAUGAAAGUAUGCCGCUCAAAAUAUUAUUUAUCUCUAUUUCAAAAUCAAGCUCUAGCACCUCUAAAAAUCCCUACUUCCCUCUGCGAAGGGCCUAUCCAUUUACUUUUAUGUUGAGUCAUCACCCUCUUAUUAAAAAGCACCAGCUGGAGAGCACCGCUGUCAUUUGCAUCCAUUACUAUUAGUUUAUAUCGGGUAUGAUUAUGACUGGAUCUCUUUUACCAUGAAUUACAAUGUCUAGUCAGUCCUUAAUCUUUAAAGGUGCUCUGCAUUUAUGUUUUGCAGUCUCAGAAAGGGCUAGCGAGAUACCAUCUUGUUAUAUCAUAUCAUGAUUGUUUUGAGAAAGUGUUGUCAUCCAAGAUUUAUUAUUAUUACUCGCUAGUUGAUUAUGUCAUUGACAUGAGUAAACAUGAGACCUAAGUGUUAUUGUGAAUAUGGUUAGUUCAUAAUCUUUGCUGAAAACUUGAAUGUUGGCUUUACAUAUUUACAACAACAAGAGCAAACAGAGUUUGUAAAAGUUUUUCUUUAUCACUUUCAGUUUAUCAACUGAAUUGCUUGAGGACAAGCAAAGGUUUAAGCUUGGGGGAGUUGAUACGUCUCCAACGUAUCUACUUUUCAAACAUUUUUGCCCUUGUUUUGGACUCUAACUUGCAUGAUUUGAAUGGAACUAACCCGGACUGACGUUGUUUUCAGCAGAAUUGCCAUGGUGUUAUCUUUGUGCAGAAACAAAAGUUCUCGGAAUGACCUGAAACUUCACGGAGAUUAUUUUUGGAAAUAAUAAAAAAUACUGGCGAAAGAAUCAAGGCCAGGAGGCCCACACCCUGUCCACAAGCGUGGGAGGCGCGCCUGCCCCCCUGGGCGCGCCCCCUGCCUCAUGGGCCCCUUGGUGCUCCACCGACCUCAACUCCAACUCUAUAUAUUCGUGUUCGGGGAGAAAAAAAUCAGAGAGAAGGAUUCAUCGCGUUUUACGAUACGGAGCCGCCGCCAAGCCCUAAUCUCUCUCGAGAGGGCUGAUCUGGAGUCCUUUCGGGGCUCCGGAGAGGGGAAUCCGUCGCCAUCGUCAUCAUCAACCAUCCUCCAUCACCAAUUUCAUGAUGCUCACCGCCGUGCGUGAGUAAUUUCAUCGUAGGCUUGCUGGACGGUGAUGGAUUGGAUGAGAUUUAUCAUGUAAUCGAGUUAGUUUUGUUAGGGUUUGAUCCCUAGUAUGCACUAUGUCCUGAGAUUGAUGUUGCUAUGACUUUGCUAUGCUUAAUGUUUUUCACUAGGGCCCAAGUGCCAUGAUUUCAGAUCUGAACCUAUUAUGUUUUCAUGAAUAUAUGUGAGUUCUUGAUCCUAUCUUGCAAAUCUAUAGUCACCUACUAUGUGUUAUGAUCCGGCAACCCCGAAGUGACAAUAAUCGGGACCACUCCCGGUGAUGACCAUAGUUUGAGGAGUUCAUGUAUUCACUAUGUGUUAAUGCUUUGGUCCGGUACUCUAUUAAAAGGAGGCCUUAAUAUCCCUUAGUUUCCAAUAGGACCCCGCUGCCACGGGAGGGUAGGACAAAAGAUGCCAUGCAAGUUCUUUUCCAUAAGCACGUAUGACUAUAUUCGGAAUACAUGCCUACAUUACAUUGAUGAAUUGGAGCUAAUUCUGUGUCACCCUAUGUUAUAACUGUUGCAUGAAUAAUCGCAUCCGGCGUAAUUCUCCAUCACCGAUCCAAUGCCUACGAGCUUUUCCCAUAUUGUUCUUCGCUUAGUUACUUUACCGUUGCCACUGUUACAAUCACUACAAUAUUGCUACUGUUACCUUUGCCACUGUUACCGUUACUUCCAUACUACUUUGCUACUAAACACUUUGCUGCAGAUAUUAAGUUAUCCAGGCAUGAUUGAAUUGACAACUCAGCUGCUAAUACUUGAGAAUAUUCUUUGGCUCCCCUUGUGUCGAAUCAAUAAAUUUGGGUUGAAUACUCUACCCUCGAAAACUGUUGCGAUCCCCUAUACUUGUGGGUUAUCACCCCCCGGGGAGUGUAUGGGCCUUAUUGGGCCUUAGUGGGAGAGAGGAGGAGGCGGCCUAGGAGUGGGCGCGCUCCCCCAAGCCCAAUCCGAAUUGGGAGGGGCCGGCCCCCCUUUCCUUCCUCCCUCUCUCCUCCUUCCUUCCUCUCCUACUCCUACUUGGAAGGGGGAAUCCUACUCCCGGUGGGAGUAGGACUCCCCUAGGGCGCUCCAUAGAGAGGGUCGGCCCUUCCCAUCCUCCACUCCUUUAUAUACGAGGGAGGGGGGCACCCCAUAGACACAAAAGUUGAUCAUUGUCUUAACCGUGUGUGGUGCCCCCCUCCACCAUAAUCCACCUCAGUCAUAUCGUCGUUGUGCUUAGGUGAAGCCCUGCGCCGGUAGCUUCAUCAUCACUGUCAUCACGCUGUCGUGCUGAUGAAGCUCUCCCUCGACACUCAGCUGGAUCGAGAGUUCGUGGGACGUCACCGAGCCGAACGUGUGCAAAUCGCGGAGGUGCCGUACUUUCCGUACUAGGAUCGGUCGGAUCGUGAAGACGUUCGACUACAUCAACCACGUUGUCAUAACGCUUCCUCUUACUGUCUACGAGGGUACGUGGACUACACUCUCCCCUCUCGUUGCUAUGCAUCACCAUGAUAGAUCUUGCAUGUGCAUAGGAAAAUUUUGAAUUUACUGCAUUCCCCAACAGUGGCAUCCGAGCCAGGUCUAUGCGUAGAUGUUAUAUGCACGAGUAGAACACAAAGAAUUGUGGGCGAUAAUAGUCAUACUGCUUACCAGGAUGUCAUACUUUGAUUCGGCGGUAUUGUUGGAUCAAGCAGCUCAGACCGACAUUACGCGUACGCUUACGCGAGACUGGUUCUACCGACGUGCUUCGCACACAGGUGGCUAGUGGGUGUCAGUUUCUCCAACUUUAGUUGAAUCGAGUGUGACUACGCCCGGUCCUUGUUGAAGGUUAAAACAACACAGUUGACGAAAAAUCGUUGUGGUUUUUGAUGUGUAGGUUAGAAUGGUUCUUGCUCAGCCCGUAGCAGCCACUUAAAACUUGCAACAACAAAGUAGAGGACGUCUAACUUGUAUUUGCAGGGCAUGUUGUGAUGUGAUAUGGUCAAGAUAUGAUGCUAAAUUAUAUUGUAUGAGAUGAUCAUGUUUUGUAACAGAGUUAUCGGCAACUGGCAGGAGCCAUAUGGUUGUCGCUUUAUUGUAUGAAAUGCAAUCGCCAUGUAAUUGCUUUACUUUAUCACUAAGCGGUAGCGAUAGUCAUAGUAGCAAUAGUUGGCGAAACGACAACGAUGCUUCGAUGGAGAUCAAGGUGUCAAGCCCGUGACGAUGGUGAUCAUGAAGGUGCUUUGGAGAUGGAGAUCAAAGGCACAAGAUGAUGAUGGCCAUAUCAUAUCACUUAUAUUGAUUGCAUGUGAUGUUUAUCCUUUAUGCAUCUUAUUUUGCUUAGUUCAGCGGUAGCAUUAUAAGAUGAUCCCUCACUAAAUUUCAAGGUAUAAGUGUUCUCCCUGAGUAUGCACCAUUGCUACAGUUCGUCGUGCCGAGACACCACGUGAUGAUCGGGUGUGAUAAGCUCUACGUUCACAUACAAUGGGUGCAAGCCAGUUUUGCACAUGCAGAAUACUCAGGUUAAAAUUGACGAGCCUAGCAUAUGCAGAUAUGGCCUCGGAACACUGAGACCGAAAGGUCGAACGUGAAUCAUAUAGUAGAUAUGAUCAACAUAGUGAUGUUCACCAUUCAAAACCACUCCAUCUCAUGUGAUUAUCGGACAUGGUUUAGUUGAUAUGGAUCAUGUGAUCACUUAGAUGAUUAGAGGGAUGUCUAUCUAAAUGGGAGUUCUUAAGUAAUAUGAUUAAUUGAACUUUAAUUUAUCAUGAACUUAGUACCUGAUACUAUUUUGCAUGUCUAUGUUGUUGUAGAUAGAUGGCUCGUGCUGUUGUUCCGUUGAAUUUUAAUGCGUUCCUAGAGAAAGCUAAGUUGAAAGAUGAUGGUAGCAACUACACGGACUGGGACCGUAACUUGAGGAUUAUCCUCAUUGCUGCACAGAAGAAUUACGUCCUGGAAGCACCGCUAGGUGACAAACCCGCUGCAGGAGCAACGCCAGAUGUUAUGAACGUCUGGCAGAGCAAAGCUGAUGACUACUCGAUAGUUCUGUGUGCCAUGCUUUACGGCUUAGAACCGGGACUUCAACGACGUUUUGAACGUCAUGGAGCAUAUGAGAUGUUCCAGGAGUUGAAGUUAAUAUUUCAAGAAAAUGCCCGGAUUGAGAGAUAUGAAGUCUCCAAUAAGUUCUACAGCUGCAAAAUGGAGGAGAAUAGUUCUGUCAGUGAACAUAUACUCAGAAUGUCUGGGUACUACAACCACUUGACUCAACUGGGAGUUAAUCUUCCUGAUGAUAGUGUCAUUGACGGAGUUCUUCAAUCACUGCCACCAAGCUACAAGAGCUUCAUGAUGAACUAUAAUAUGCAAGGGAUUUAUAAGACAAUUCCUGAGCUCUUCGCAAUGCUAACGGCUGCGGAGGUAGAAAUCAAGAAGGAGCAUCAAGUGUUGAUGGUCAACAAGACCACCAGCUUCAAGAAAAAGGGUAAAGGGAAGAAGGGGAACUUCAAGAAGAACAAUAAGCAAGUUGCUGCUCAAGUGAAGAAGCCCAAGUCUGGACCUAAGCCUGAGACUGAGUGCUUCUACUGCAAAGGGACUGGUCACUGGAAGCGGAACUGCCCCAAGUAUUUGGCGGAGAAGAAGGAUGGCAAAGUGAAAGGUAUAUUUGAUAUACAUGUUAUUGAUGUGUACCUUACUAAUGCUCGCAGUAGUGCCUGGGUAUUUGAUACUGGUUCUGUUGCCAAUAUGUGCAACUCAAAAUAGGGGCUACGGAUUAAGCGAAGGUUGGCUAAGGACGAGGUGAUGAUGCGCGUGGAAAAUGGUUCCAAAGUCGAUCUGAUCGCUGUCGGCACGCUACCUCUACAUCUACCUUCGGGAUUAGUUUUAGACCUAAAUAACUGUUAUUUGGUGCCAGCGUUGAGCAUGAACAUUAUAUCUGGAUCUUGUUUGAUGCGAGACAGUUACUCAUUUAAAUCAGAGAAUAAUGGUUGUUCUAUUUAUAUGAGUAAUAUCUUUUAUGGUCACGCACCCUUGAUGAGUGGUCUAUUUUUAUGAAAUCUUGAUAGUAGUGAUACACAUGUUCAUAGUAUUGAAACCAAAAGAUAUAAAUUUAAUAAUGAUAGUGCAACUUAAUUGUGGCACUGCCAUUUAGGUCAUAUUGGUGUAAAGCGCAUGAAGAAACUCCAUGCCGAUGGGCUUUUGGAAUCACUUGAUUAUGAAUCACUUGAUGCUUGCGAACCAUGCCUCAUGGGCAAGAUGACUAAGACUCCGUUCUCUGGAACAAUGGAGCGAGCAACAGACUUGUUGGAAAUAAUACAUACUGAUGUAUGCGGUCCAAUGAAUGUUGAUGCUCGCGGCGGGUAUCGUUAUUUUCUUACCUUCACAGAUGAUUUGAGCAGAUAUGGGUAUAUCUACUUGAUGAAACAUAAGUUUGAAAUAUUUGAAAAGUUCAAAGAAUUUCAGAGUGAAGUGGAAAAUCAUCGUAACAAGAAAAUAGAGUUUCUACGAUCUGAUCGUGGAGGAGAAUAUUUGAGUUACGAGUUUGGUCUUCAUUUGAAACAAUGCGGAAUAGUUUCGCAACUCACACCACCUGGAACACCACAGCGUAAUGGUGUGUCCGAAUGUCGUAAUCGUACUUUACUAGAUAUGGUGCGAUCUAUGAUGUCUCUCACUGAUUUACCGCUAUCGUUUUGGGGUUAUGCUUUAGAGACAGCUGCAUUCACGUUAAAUAAAGCACCAUCUAAAUCCGUUGAGACGACACCUUAUGAACUGUGGUUUGGCAAGAAACCCAAGUUGUCGUUUCUUAAAGUUUGGGGCUGCAAUGCUUAUGUGAAAAAGCUUCAACCUGAUAAGCUUGAACCCAAAUCGGAAAAAUGUGUCUUCAUAGGAUACCCAAAGGAGACUGUUGGGUACACCUUCUAUCACAGAUCCGAAGGCAAGAUAUUCGUUGCUAAGAAUGGAUCCUUUCUAGAGAAGGAGUUUCUCUCGAAAGAAGUGAGUGGGAGGAAAGUAGAACUUGAUGAGGUAACAGUACCUGCUCCCUUAUUGGAAAGUAGUUCAUCACAGAAAUCAGUUCCAGUGAUUCCUACACCAAUAAGUGAGGAAGCUAAUGAUGAUGAUCAUGAAACUUCUGAUCAAGUUACUACUGAACCUCGUAGGUCAACCAGAGUAAGAUCCAAACCAGAGUGGUACGGUAAUCCUGUUCUGGAAGUCAUGUUACUUGACCAUGACGAACCUACGAACUAUGAGGAAGCGAUGAUGAGCCCAGAUUCCACAAAAUGGCUUGAGGCAAUGAAAUCUUAGAUGGGAUCCAUGUAUGAGAACAAAGUAUGGACUUUGGUUGACCUGCCCGAUGAUCUGCAAGCCAUAGACAAUAAAUGGAUCUUCAAGAAGAAGACUGACGCAGACGGUAAUGUUACUGUCUACAAAGCUCGACUUGUUGCGAAAGGUUUUCGACAAGUUCAAGGAGUUGACUAUGAUGAGACCUUCUCACCCGUAGAGAUGCUUAAGUCCGUCCGAAUCAUGUUAGCAAUUGCCGCAUUUUAUGAUUAUGUAAUUUGGCAAAUGGAUGUCAAAACUGCAUUCCUUAAUGCAUAUCUUAAAGAAGAGUUGUAUAUGAUCCAACCAGAAGAUUUUGUCGAUCCAAAAGGUGCUAACAAAGUGUGCAAGCUCCAGCGAUCCAUUUAUGGACUGGUGGAAGCCUCUCGGAGUUGGAAUAUACGCUUUGAUAGUGUGAUCAAAGCAUAUGGAUUUAUACAGACUUUUGGAGAAGCCUGUAUUUACAAGAAAGUGAGUGGGAGCUCUGUAGCAUUUCUGAUAUUAUAUGUGGAUGACAUAUUGUUGAUCGGAAAUGAUACUGAAUUUCUGAAUAGCAUAAAAGGAUACUUGAAUAAGAAUUUUUCAAUGAAAGACCUCGGUGAAGCUGCUUAUAUAUUGGGCAUCAAGAUCUAUAGAGAUAGAUCAAGGCGCUAAAUUGGACUUUCACAAAGCACAUACCUUGACAAAGUUUUGAAGAAGUUCAAAAUGGAUCAAGCAAAGAAAGGGUUCUUGCCUGUGUUACAAGGUGUGAAGUUGAUUUAGACUCAAUGCCCGACCACUGCAGAAGAUAGAGAGAAAAUGAAAGUCAUUCCCUAAGCUUCAGCCAUAGGUUCUAUCAUGUAUGCAAUGUUGUGUACCAGACCUGAUGUGUGCCUUGCUAUUAGUUUAGCAGGAAGGUACCAAAGUAAUCCAGGAGUGGAUCACUGGACAGCGGUCAAGAAUAUCCUGAAAUACCUGAAAAGGACUAAGGAUAUGUUUCUCGUUUAUGGAGGUGACAAAGAGCUCGUCGUAAAUGGUUACGUUGAUGCAAGCUUUGAGACUGAUCCGGAUGACUCUAAGUCACAAACCGGAUACGUAUUUUUAUUGAAUGGUGGGGCUGUCAAUUGGUGCAGUUCCAAGCAGAGCGUCGUGGCGGGAUCUACGUGUGAAGCGGAGUACAUAGCUGCUUCGGAAGCAGCGAAUGAAGGAGUCUGGAUGAAGGAGUUCAUAUCCGAUCUAGGUGUCAUACCUAGUGCAUCGGAUCCAAUGAAUCCAGAUUUCACAAGAGAACCAAGCACAUCAAGAGACGCUUCAAUUCCAUCCGCGAUCAAGUCAAGGAGGGAGACAUAGAGAUUUGCAAGAUACAUACGGAUCUGAAUGUUGCAGACCCGUUGACUAAGCCUCUCUCACGAGCAAAACAUGAUCAGCACCAAGACUCCAUGGGUGUUAGAAUCAUUACAAUGUAAUCUAGAUUAUUGACACUAGUGCAAGUGGUAGACUGAAGGAAAUAUGCCCUAGAGGCAAUAAUAAAGUUGUUAUUUAUAUUUCCUUAUAUCAUGAUAAAUGUUUAUUAUUCAUGCUAGAAUUGUAUUAACCGGAAACUUAGUACAUGUGUGAAUACAUAGACAAACAGAGUGCCACUAGUAUGCCUCUACUUGACUAGCUUGUUAAUCAAAGAUGGUUAAGUUUCCUAGCCAUGGACAAAGAGUUGUCAUUUGAUAAACGAGAUCACAUCAUUAGAGAAUGAUGUGAUUGACUUGACCCAUCCGUUAGCUUAGCACGAUGAUCGUUUAGUUUGUUGCUAUUGCUUUCUUCAUAACUUAUACAUGUUACUAUGACUAUGAGAUUAUGCAACUCCCGAAUACCGGAGGAACACUUAGUGUGCUAUCAAACGUCACAACGUAACUGGGUGAUUAUAAAGAUGCUCUACAGGUGUCUCCGAUGGUGUUUGUUGAGUUGGCAUAGAUCAAGAUUAGGAUUUGUCACUCCAGGUAUCGGAGAGGUAUCUCUGGGCCCUCUCGGUAAUGCACAUCACUAUAAGCCUUGCAAGCAUUGUGACUAAUGAGUUAGUUGCGGAAUGAUGCAUUAUGGAACGAGUAAAGAGACUUGCCAGUAAUGAGAUUGAACUAGGUAUUGAGAUACCGACGAUCGAAUCUCGGGCAAGUAACAUACCGAUGACAAAGGGAACAAUGUAUGUUGUUAUGCGGUUUGACCGAUAAAGAUUUUCGUAGAAUAUGUAGGAACCAAUAUGAGCAUCCAGGUUCCACUAUUGGUUAUUGAUCGGAGAUGAGUCUCGGUCAUGUCUACAUAGUUCUCGAACCCGUAGGGUCCGCACGCUUAACGUUCGGUGACGAUCGGUAUUAUGAGUUUAUGUGUUUUGAUGUACCGAAGGUAGUUCGGAGUCCCGGAUAUGAUCACGGACAUGACGAGGAGUCUCAAAAUGGUCGAGACAUAAAGAUCGAUAUAUUGGAGGACUAUGUUUGGACAUCGGAAUGGUUCCGGGUGAGUUCGGGCAUUUACCGGAGUACCGGGGGGUUACCGGAACCCCCCGGGGAGUGUAUGGGCCUUAUUGGGCCUUAGUGGGAGAGAGGAGGAGGCGGCCUAGGAGGGGGGCGCGCCCCCCCAAGCCCAAUUCGAAUUGGGAGGGGGGGCAGCCCCCCUUUCCUUCCUCCCUCUCUCCUCCUUCCUUCCUCUCCAACUCCUACUUGGAAGGGGGGAAUCCUACUCCCGGUGGGAGUAGGACUCCCCUAGGGCGCUCCAUAGAGAGGGCCGGCCCUUCCCCUCCUCCACUCCUAUAUUUACGGGGGAGGGGGCACCCCAAAGACACACAAGUUGAUCAUUGUCUUAACCGUGUGCGGUGCCCCCCUCCACCAUAAUCCACCUCGGUCAUAUCGUCGUAGUGCUUAGGCGAAGCCCUGCGCCGGUAGCUUCAUCAUCACCGUCAUCACGCCAUCGUGCUGACGAAGCUCUCCCUCGACACUCAGCUGGAUCGAGAGUUCGUGGGACGUCACCGAGCCGAACGUGUGCAGAUCGCGGAGGUGCCGUACUUUCGGUACUAGGAUCGGUUGGAUCGUGAAGACGUUCGACUACAUCAACCGCGUUGUCAUAACGCUUCCGCUUACGGUCUACGAGGGUACGUGGACUACACUCUCCCCUCUCGUUGCUAUGCAUCACCAUGAUAGAUCUUGCGUGUGCAUAGGAAAAUUUUGACUUUACUGUGUUCCCCAAUAAUAAGACCAAAACUAUAUUCCUUAGCAAGGAAAAGGAAAGAAAAAUCCCAUAACGAUCAAUAAACUACAGCAACAACCAUAUCUGUACCAAUUAUCUAUUGACACCACCAGGACAACGGGAAAAGUUUUUGAAUGACAAUGGCUUCAGGAAUGGAGUGAUGCUCAAGCAUCACCGUCACCGGAUCCAACAACCAAAGGCCCGGUUCUAGGUUUUUGCCCCGAAGAACAAGUCCGAGCAUAUCCAAGCAAUGCCUUCAACAAGGUAAUGACGCAAAAACAUCACCAUUGCCAGGUCUAACAAACUCGGGUCAUACCUAGGGUUUUCACCCCGGAGCUCGAGAUCGGGCACUCGAGAAGCACCAAAUCGAAUUCAAUCAUGUGUUGUCGCUACCAAUUUUCCGUGAUCCCAACAACUACAUGCGCUAGGCUAGAACUCCCACCGCCCUACUACAGAACCUUACCCUCUGCGUCAAGCCGCUGCCCAUAGACUGCAUCUCACAAUCAAAGGAAAACUAGCUAGAGCGAGAGCCGUCAAAACCAACAGUGGAGCCUUUGGCUCCCUCCCACAUAUGUGCCGCCAGUAGUAGCCACUGGAUGUGAAGAGAUGACCCCAGCGAAGACUUCGAUGUCCACCGCAAUCCGCAGCUCGAGUGGCCUACCGUUGUCGCCAAGGUCAGAUCUGAAGGAGAAAUCCUUCCAAAUCAAACGGUGACAAAACCGUUCACUGAUUUGAUCGGACGUGACCACAAGCCAGAAAGGAAGCGACCAACCCCAAUCCUAACAAGUAGUUGCCACUAAGAGAGCCGCAUGUGCCCGACGUGGUGGUCUGGAGGGAGCAGCAGAGGACCGGUGGCGGCGAGAAAAGGAAGGGCUGACGGGAGGUGGUGGCAGCGGCUUAGGGUUGCUCCUCGAGCCGCCAAGGGAGACGAUGCGGUGACUGUUUUGCAUGGCCUGCUUCGCUUGUUCUCUAGCUAGGAACACCCAAAAAAAGGUACUAGUAGUAAUUGGCUUGGAUUCCUGAUUAAUUGAAUACAUGGUAACCUUUACGAACUGAGCCGAGUUCUAAUGCAUCAAAUGUAUCCAUUGCUUUGUAGCACUACUUUAGGGCCAGUUCUUUUGCUGGCUUCUAGAAUAAGCUGCCCCCUACCCAGCUUAUUCUAGAAGCCCAACCAAAUUUAUUUUUUGAGAAGCCUACUAUUUAAGACUUAACUAUUAGGCUUCUAAAAAAUAUUUUUUGUUGGGCUUCUAGAAUAAGCUGGGUAGGGGCAGCUUAUUCUAGAAGCUCAAAAAAGCCACUAAAAGAAUUGGCCCUUAACAAGCUUACCGUACAUAUUAUUUUGCCAUGCCAAUUUUUUGUUGUAAUUUGUGUUAAUUGAGCUGUGUUUUAUUUUUGUCUUUUGAAACUUGAAUGUGCACGGGUGAAGUUUGGCUUGAGAAAGUUGGGGGAGGUAUUUCAUGGUGUGAAGAUACGUGGAAUUGUGCCUUACCAUUACUAUGUUUCCCUAAAAAAAACUGCGAUCAUGCCACACUUGCAGUAAAAAUUCCCCAAAAAUCACAACCAAUUCUAGAACAUGGCCGUCCAUCUUUGUCUGCAAAAAAAGCAGACUAGCUUGUCUUGCGCUGAUUCACGUCACAUGGGUUGCGCUAGCAAGAGUCCUUGGGAUACAAAAUACAACCAUAAUAAUUGGAUGGACAUUUUAAGCUAAAGGCCUAGCCAUGAGUAUUUGCCCUUGUUUGCAAAAAAAAAAAAAGGUGAAAGUGAUGGGUCUAAUGCCUUACGUUGAAGUUUCCUAGUAACCAUUUUAAGCGAAGGGUACAACGAAUGAGUUCGCAUCCAUUUGCACAAAUUAGGGGCCUCUUUAAUACGUACGAUAAGUGGAGGAAGAAUGCAUGAAUAGAAAAGUUUACAAUGGUUGCAUUGCUUAUAAUUCAAAAGAAUGUACCAUAGGGAAAAUGCAGAGAUUUUUCUUUGGUUUUAAGAAAAACAAAGGAAUUUUACGAUCCACCCUAACCUCUCUUUUACAAGCGUAAUAUGCACAAAGACCAAGGCAAAUGCCAUAACUAACAUAGUGUAUUAAGUUAAUCUGAAUUUUUCAUAUGUUUUAACCUUAAUUUGACUAUGCCUUUUAGGAUUCACGUGUUUUCCUAUUCUUGCAAAUCAAACACGGAAUUCUGCAAAUUCAUGUGUUUUCACCGUCCUCUGUUUUGCACAUGCAAUCCUAUCUCAUUCUUAUGUUUUCUUAUUCUUGUAUUUUUGCAAUCUUGUGAAUCGAAGAGGCAUAGUGAAAUGGACAUGUUCGACUGGUCCAUCAUCACGCCUGAACUACACACGAUGUUCCUGCUUCCUGAUAAUAUAUACCCACAUCACCCGAAGCUCUGGUCAUUUGUGUUCACUCUCAUGCUUAUUUCGCACUUUGGAUGUUUUAAUAUGACUGUCAUUUGGCUGGAUAUAACUACUAACAACAUUAUCCAGUAUAUGUGGUUGUUUGGUAAAAGUUUCCCAAUUUAAAGGUAGGCUCUCGCGAAUCGGCUCAUCGAUGCAAAUAAUGUGGUUCAUGGCUCUAGUUUGAGGUUGCAAUUCAAAACGUUUCUUAGAAAGGAAAAAGACAGAUAAUAGCGGACAAGUGCAAUCUACAAAAAGACUUUCAACUUAUAGUCCCAUAGUACUCGUCAUCUCCAAUGUACAUAUUCCUUCAAAUUUGGAAAAUCGAAUAUAUAUAUUCGCCGUUGGGAACAUAUAGCAUGCCUAACUACUAAGAAUUGCUUUGUGAUUGUUAGAGUAGUCAUUAUGGUAUACGACUUCUAGUCCAAGUCAGUUUUGUAUCCCUACCCCAAGUCGGUUUGUACCCUUUUAUAUACUCUUGUAUGCCGCACCAAAUCAUCAAUAAGCAACAGUUUAUUCAGCUUUCAUGGUAUCAGAUACCGGUCCCAGGGUUUAGGGUAUGGCUCUGCCAACGCCAACGCCGCCGCUGCCGCCCGGCUACUUCGAGCGCCGGGCCGCACUCAUCGCCAAGGCUGCCAACGCCGCGGCCGCUUCUCUCUCGGCCCUCACCAUAGCUCCACAAAACUACCCUGCACCCAUCCUCGCCGCACCAAUAUCUCUUGCUGACACAAUCUCCGACGUCAGCCCCUACAUCCCCAUAGUUCUUGAUCUCGCCGCCCACAACUACUACCAUUGGAGACAUCUCUUCGAUCUCCACCUCGGCCGCUGCAACCUGCGCUCGCAUGUCGCCGCCAACUGUCUUCCCCGCCCCGACGAUCCGCAAUGGUUGAAAGACGAUCUCGCGAUCGUCCAGUGAUUCUACACCCGCAUCACCACCGAGAUCUUCAACAUGCUCGAUCACGACGGCGCCACCGCUGCCAACAUCUGGCACUCCCUCCGUCAGCUCUUCCAAAGCAACACCGACGCUCGGAAAAACUCUCUCCACACCGAGCUUCGCAAUAUGGUGCAAGGAGACGCCCCGGUGAACCUGUUCUGCCAGCGCGUUAAGACCAUUGGUGAUGAGCUCCGCGAACUCGGCGAUACAGUUAGCGACUCACAGCUAAUCAAUAUCGUCGUCGUCGGCCUCAGCGAAGACUUUGACAAGCAAGCCUCGUUCAUACCGAUGAUACGGCCCCCUCCUACCUUCGCUGAAGUUCGUUCCUUGCUACAACUCGCCGCGGAAACACAAGCUCGCAAGGACUCUCGCCCCAAGGUCUUUCAUGCUGCGGCUCGUCCUCCUCUGUCGUCUACACCAGCGCCGCCUUCCAUGCCGGCUCCUGCCGCCGGGCCGUCCGCAUCGUCAUCUGUUCAACCGCCCCCAGGCUGGCGUCCUAGUCCGAACUACCGCGGCAAAAACCCUAUCUACAGGCCGCCGUCGACUCGUUCGGUUCCGCCUACGACAUCACCAGCACCGAGUCCUGCACCACCCACCAGUGCUCCAUCUGCGGUUGCAUGGCGGCCUCCUCAUGAUCCUUGGAUGGGGCUUGUUCAAGCAUGGCCAUGCCCUGGUCCACUCCAUCCACCCUCGGUGCUCCGCCGGCAUACUCAGGUGCCUGGCAACCCGGCCUUCAGCCGCCUACUGGUGCUCCCGGGGUUCUCAACCCCCGACAGCCGGCCAAUGCCUAUCACGCCGCCCCGACGUAUGCUCCUUAUGGUCAUUACACCACCGACGGCGGCGCCUACUACACACCUCAGCCGGCCCUGCUCCCGACGCCACCCCCACUACAGCCGGCCAAUGCCUACUACACUCCCCAGCCGGCCCUACUGCCUUCACCAUCGUAUCCGCCGGCACUGCUUCCGAUGCCACCCUCACCUGCGACGCCGAGCUGGGAUCAAGCUGCCUUUCUCCAGGCCAUGAAUAACUUUGCUGCACAAGGAAACUCAGGUACGGAUUGGAUCUUUGAUUCAGGGGCCUCUAGUCAUAUGUCUGCAUCUAGUAAUUGGUUAUCUUCUUGCACUAAAUCUCCUUUCCCUUCCAUUAUCCUUGGAGAUGGAUCAUCUAUUCCUAUAUAUUGUGUUGGUCAGGCUCAACUUCCCUCUUCCACCAAACCUCUUUUACUUCGCGAUGUUCUAGUUGCACCCGCCCUCAUUAAAAAUCUUAUCUCUGUUCGCCAAUUUACUUGCGACAAUCUAGUUUCAGCUGAAUUUGACCCUUUUGGUUUAUCUGUGAAGGAUUACCUGACCAAGGCCGAGAUCGCUCGCUUCAAUAGCUCCGGUGAUCUUUAUUCUCUUAAUGGAGUUCCUGCCGCCACCCCUCCAACAUCCAUGCUGGCCUCCGUCGAUCUCUGGCAUCGUCGCCUGGGCCAUCCCAACCCCGCCGUCUUAGCUUCUAUGCUUAGUGAAUUUACCAUACCAUGUAAUAGGGACUCUCAUAAUUCUGUGUUUUGCGAGUCUUGUCAAUUAGGCAAACAUGUGCAUCUUCCCUUUAGUUCCUCUAGUUCUUGUAGCACUUAUCCCUUUGAAUUAAUACAUUGUGAUUUAUGGACCUCUCCCAUUGCAAGUGUUUCGGGUUUUAAAUACUACCUUGUUAUCCUAGAUGAUUUCACCCACUUUGUCUGGACUUUUCCUCUACGCAACAAAUCCGAGGUCCAUUCUCUUUUCCUUAAUUUUCAACGCUAUGUGUCUGUUCACUUCUUCCUCCCAAUUCGCUUUAUCCAAUGUGACAAUGGUCGCGAGUUUGAUAACAUUAAAAAUCGUACUUACUUCUUACAACAUGGCAUCCUGCUUAGGUUCUCAUGUCCCGACACCUCCCCUCAAAAUGGUAAAGCAGAACGCUCUCUUCGCACCCUCAAUGAUAUAGUUCGCACUCUCCUCAUUCAAUCAUCUAUGCCUCCCAAGUUUUGGGCUGAAGCCCUACACAUGGCCACCUUCCUUCUAAAUAUUCGACCUUCUAAAACUAAACCCAACACUACUCCCUAUUAUUCCCUCUUUCUUUCCCACCCCGACUACUCCGCGGUUCGUGUUUUCGGCUGUCUUUGUUUUCCCAAUGCCUACGCCACUUCUGCAAAUAAAUUGUCACCACGCUCUAUCCCAUGUGCUUUUCUCGGCUUCUCUGACAAGCACAAAGGCUAUCGUUGUCUCGACCUUCACACCGGACACGUUCAUGUCUCUCGUCAUGUCACGUUUGCUGAGCACAUUUUUCCUUUCUCACAACGCACUACUACACCAUCCAACACCCCUAGCUCCGCAAACACCCCCUCUCCCCGUCCUUUCCAACUAUAUACUCCCCUACCUGCCGAACACAACUUAUCACCACCACCAUUAACACCCACCAUAGCCAAUCCCAACCAUACACUCACCCCACCCGAGACGUCCCCAACACCCCUGACCCCUGCUCCCUCCCCAACACCCCUGGCCCCUACUCCCACUCCACCACCCAGCCCUACUCCUUCGUCCGACUCUUUCGCUGCGCCGGACUCACCAGUAUCCACCUUACCCCCUCGUGCUAUUCCUACAGCAGCCCCGAUUAAUGAUCAUCGCAUGCGUACUAGGGCCAAAUCAGGAUUUCAUCAACCCCAAGACCGCCUAAACCUUCAUACCUCCGUAUCUCUCACUUCUCUUCCAAAGAAUUACAAAACUGCUCUACUUGAUCCCAAUUGGGCCGCUGCCAUGCAAGAAGAAUAUAAUGCUUUACUUCAAAACAACACCUGGCAACUUGUUCCUCGUCCUCCCAAUACCAAUAUUGUUUCUGGCAAAUGGAUUUUUCGCCAAAAGUUCCACUCCGAUGGGAGCCUCUCACGAUAUAAAGCCAGGUGGGUUUGUCGUGGCUUUUCUCAGCGACAAGGAAUUGAUUACGAAGAAACCUUCUCUCCUGUUGUUAAACCUAGCACCAUUCGCACCGUUCUUAGUGUUGAUGUCUCCUCUUCAUGGCCCAUUCACCAACUUGAUGUUAAAAAUGCUUUCCUCCAUGGUUCCCUUCAAGAAACUAUCUACUGCCAGCAACCUCUGGGUUUUGAAAAUCCAUCCUUUCCAACUCAUGUAUGUCUUCUUCAGAAAUCUCUCUACGGUCUUAAACAGGCCCCACGAGCUUGGUUUCAACGCUUCUCCUCCUUCAUUCAAACAAUAGGCUUCACUCCAUCUCUCUCCGACACCUCUCUUUUUGUGUAUCAUCAAACUUCUGACACUGCCUAUUUACUUCUCUAUGUAGAUGAUAUCAUUCUUACCGCCUCCUCUCAAAAGUUCUUAGAUCAUAUUGUCUCUCUUCUUAGAUCUGAAUUUUCUAUGACUGACCUAGGACUCCUUCAUCAUUUCUUAGGCAAUGCUGUUGUUCGAGAUUCCACCAGCCUUUUUCUUUCCCAACGCCAGUAUAUUCUUGAUCUUCUUAAUCGUGCUGGUAUGCUUGACUGUCAAUCAUCUCGCACUCCUGUCGAUACUAGUUUUAAACUUUCGGCUACCGGUGAACCCUUUUCCGAUCCUACUCUCUAUCGUAGCCUAACAGGUGCUCUCCAAUAUCUCACCAUUACUCGUCCUAAAAUCUCUUUUGCUGUUCAACAAGCAUGUCUCUAUAUGCAUGAUCCCCGGGUUCCUCACUAUAAUCAUGUUAAACGCAUUCUUCGGUAUUUAAAAGGAACUCUCAAUCAUGGUCUCCACCUCAAUAAUUCUUCUCCAAACUCGCUUACCGCAUACUCUGAUGCAGACUGGGCUGGUUGUCCUGACACUCGAAGGUCCACUUCCGGUUUUUGUGUUUUUCUUGGUAACAAUUUGAUUUCUUGGUCUUCGAAAAGACAGGUUACAGUCUCACGUUCGUCGGCCGAGGCUGAGUAUCGCGCUGUGGCACAUGCCAUUGCAGAUACAAUCUGGAUUCGGCAGUUACUCUCUGAGCUACAUAGGCCUAUUGAGCAGGCCACUAUUGUCUACUGUGACAACAUAUCAGCAGUCUACAUGACCAGCAAUCCAGUUCAACACCGACGCACAAAGCAUAUUGAGAUUGAUAUUCAUUUUGUUCGUGAAAAGGUUGCUCUUGGUCAGGUUCGGGUGCUUCAUGUUCCCUCUACGGCUCAGUUUGCUGACAUUUUCACCAAGGCACUGCCUACUAAGCCGUUUCAAGAUAUCUGUUUCAGUCUCAACGUCGUCGAGCCUGCCGUUGAUACUGCGGGGAGGUGUUAGAGUAGUCAUUAUGGUAUACGACUUCUAGUCCAAGUCAGUUUUGUACCCCUACCCCAAGUCGGUUUGUACCCUCUUAUAUACUCUUGUAUGCCGCACCAAAUCAUCAAUAAGCAACAGUUUUAUUCAACUUUCAGUGAUCAUGUCGUGUGAUUCAUAUCUGCACCCAUCUUUCUACUUCGUGCGGAAGCCUGACAAAUGCUAUGUUUUGUAACAGUUCUGCACUCUUGCAGUAAAUCCUCUAGCUGCCCCGGCCGAAAGUUGAAACGUAUUCUGGUAGACUGCCGCCCAUUUUUGGCUGCAAAUCAGUGGGCACGACUAAGCUAGUCCUGCGCUACUUCACAUCACAUGGGUUAGGUUCCUCGGGAUAGCAAAUAGAAACAUAAGUAGAUGGACAUACAAAUUUUAAGCUAAAGGCCCAGCUACGAGUCUGUGGUCUUUGUUCGGGUAAAGCGACCAUUUUAAGCCAAAGGCACAGCCAUGAGCCUGCACUACUCGUUUGCACAAACUAGGGAAAAAGGACGGUCCAUCAUCACUACACGCCUGGCCUGACCGGCGCAGUUGGUGGUGGAGAGUAUAAGCAGCACCGAUAUGCCAUGGCUGUGAGCCUGUGACCGGCCUGUACCCGCAUCAAUGGCGCGUAGCUAGAGUAGUGCUAGAAUUGAACAGUGGACUGCGCCAUGCCGGUUCACAUUUGGGGAGGAGGAAACUUCGUGGAAGUUGCAACCUCAAGCUCACAUCGAUCGCAUCAUGUCAUUUAUCCAUGCAGGUAAUCAGGCUGCUAGAAAGAACGUUUAGUUUCCGUCAAUUGUAGUAGCUCAAGCUUAGUUUGAGCUUACUGUGAGUUAAUCGGGGGGUGGGCAGCUUCCCGGAAGUUUUUAUUUAGAACGAAGACGCUAGAAGUGUCCGACUUUAAAUUAAUAAAGCCCACAACUUAAGCAACGUAACAAACAGAGUCUUAGAACAUCGAACACGAGCACGGAGGCUCAGGCCACGCCGACGCGGAGUCUCGAGAGUUUAAAACAGGCCAAAAGAAGCACGCAGCGAGGCAAAUACAAGGCCCGAAGCCAGAGCAUAGAGCACGCAGGCUCGCUCGCGUGACAAAAGGGCCACUUCACGGCAUAGAAGUGACAAACGGCUCCCUAGCCAAAACGUAGACCUGGCGAAGACGAUCUUGAGCUUGCUUUAGUUUCUCAGCAUCCUUGCGCCUCGCCAACGGACUCCACUGCUGCAGGAAAAGGUUGCAUUUGUAGAUUAUGUUAGCAGGGUGUGAUGGGAAGAUUCCUUCGAUCACUAGUUUGUUCCUAGUGAGCCAGAUAGCCCAGGCCAAGGCUCCUAUGCAACUCCAAAGCACACGUUUGUUGCCUCCCUGAACGGAGUCUAUUAUGGCCGCGAGGUCGGAGGCCGACCGAGGGUCCCAGGAAGUAUUGGCCGCUGCACGAACGGCACUCCAAGCAAAACGUGCCAGCGGACAGCGGAAGAAUACGUGGUUCACAUCCUCCGUGACGUUAGAUAUCGCACACAGGCCGGUCGACCGGCCAUUGCUUUUGGCGAUGUUAGCCGAAAUGGGCAGUCUAUUGCGAAACAGUUGCUAGAAAAACACCUUAAUCUUAAGUGGGAGGCGCGAGUUCCACAAGCCCUUCGGCACCUGAAAGGACGGGCCCUGACACAGCUUACGGUAAAGUGACUUGACCGAAAACUUGCCGGACGGGGUGAGGGCCCAGGUCACUGUGUCCGCGGACGAAGACAACGACACCGACUCGGUGAGAGCAAGCAACUUUGUUAGGUGUGCUUGUUCCGUCCCCGUUAACUCUCGACGGAAGUGGAUCGCCGGGGGGAAGAGGCAAGUGCCGUGGCAACAGUUUGCUCCGGGUUGACAGCCAGAGCGUAAAGGUCCUGGAAAUCUGACCAAAGGGGUUAGGAUCCCACCCAAUGGUCUAGCCAGAAACGGGCCGAACGGCCGUUGCCAAUGGAGAACUUGGCUCCCAGUGCAAAGGCCGGUCGGACCGCUUGAAGAUCGUUCCAGAAAGGAGAUCCCCUCGCCACACCCUCAAAAAAAUUCCGUUCGGGAAGUACUUGGCACGCAACAGGUCAACCCACAUACCCGUCACCCCCGCGAAAGCUUCCAUAUCCAUUUGCACAUAAGUUCAAUGUUUAAGAUUCUGGUAUUUGUGAUCCCGAGACCUCCCAGGUCUUUGGGACGGCACACCGCAGCCCAUUUAACCAUGUGGUACUUGCGUUUGGGUCCCGAUCCUUCCCAAAAGAAACGAGACCGAGGUGUGUCCAUAUUGGCAUGAACCCCUUCUGCCAGGAGGAACAGCCCCAUAGCAAAUUGCGGCAGCAAGGAGAGGCUCAAGUUCGUGAGAACCAGCCUAGCUACAGAGGAUAGGAACUUCUCCCUCCACGGACAUACCCGCCCUCCCACCUUGGUCCAGAGCGGAGCCCACCCGUCGAUCGUGAUGUGUUUGGCGUCCAACGGGAGACCCAGGUAGGUAAACGGUAGUUUGCCUAGUUUGCAAUUGAGAAGGUCCGCGAUACGCCUACCUUCUUGCGCCUCCAUGCCCAUAGGCAUCCCUUCACACUUGUGGAAGUUAAUUUUAAGCCCCGACAUGAGUUCGAAGCUAAUUAACAAGGCUUUGACCGUAGCCACACUAUGGAGAUCUGGUUGGAACAACAAUAGCGUAUCAUCCGCGUAUUGCAAGUGUGAUAUCCCCCCGGGAUGAGGUGUCCCAACACCCCUUUUAUGUGCCCUGCCUCCGUGGCUUUCCGCAGCAUAGCCGCCAACGCGUCGGCGACAAAAUUGAACAAGAGCGGUGACAUGGGAUCGCAUUGGCGCAAGCCUCGCUUGUUCCUGAAGAAGUGCCCUACUUCUCCAUUCACCGAGACCGCAGUUUGGCCCCCCGAGACCAAUUGCAUGACUCGAUGCACCCACACCAGCGAGAAGCCUCGACUGGUGAGAAUCUGACGGAGGAAAUCCCAAUUGACGCGGUCGUAAGCCUUCUCGAAAUCUAAUUUGAGGAGAAUCGCAGGCUCGUCCGUGCGCUUAAGCUCGUGAAUGGUCUCUUGCAAAGCUAACGGCCCCUCCAAAAUGUUUCUACCACGUAUGAAUGCACAUUGGGAACGACUUAUGGUGCGAUGUGCGAUCGGCGUGAGCCUUGUGGCGCAGCCUUUGGCACCGAUUUUAAACGGUACGUUAAUGAGCGCGAUGGGUCUGUACUGGCGAAUGUUGUCCGCCCCAGACACUUUCGGGAUUAACGAGAGCACGCCGUAGUUUAGCCUCGCGAUGUCCACGAAACCACGCAUGAAGCCAUUACACACAUCCUAUAUGGGAUCGCGCAGCAUAGGCCAAAAGUGUUUAAACAUCGCCACCGGCCACCCAUCCGGCCCCGGAGCUGUGUCUGAUUUCAUGCUAAGGAGUGCAUCGUCUAUCUCCUUAGGGAGAAACGCGAGCCCCAACUCUUCGUUCUCGCUAUCUAGGACCUUUUGAGACAGGAGCCAGAUGUCCGCUCGCAGACGCGCGCGUUGAGCCUCGUCGGUCCCCAUCAGACUAAUAUAAAAGUCGUAGAUAUGUUGGGUAAUCUCCGAUUGCUGUAGAAGUAGCCCCUGCUCCGUCUGCAACCUAAGAAUUGAGCAUUUCCUACGCCGGCCAAUCGCGUACGCGUGGAAAUACUUAGUGUUUGCAUCGCCUUUGAGCGUCCACUUGAGGCCUCCCCUACGCCUCCAAUAUUCCUCCUCAAAUUGCAACAGUGCUUCGACUUGCCCUUCUAAGGCAUAUCGAUGCUUCCCGGAAGUUGCUAGCUUGGCAAUGCGUAUAAAAAGGCCACCGCCCGGCCGGCCACUCUCUCACGCCGUAGCUAGCAUCCAGAACAGGUCGAGGAACGAGGUCCGUCGCGGCGCGCGUGUCUCCAAGCAGAGGCCGCCGGCCGGCUCUGCUCCGGUCGUCUCCAACUACGAUCUUGGACGGACGGCGGCAUACUAGUCCGACAUCCGUCACGGGGACACAGCCGCCGGCACGGCGCACUGGAGGCCCUGCGCGCGCGCGGUUGGACACAGGUACGUUAUUCAUCCGGCCUGCGCGCGCGCGGUUGAACACAGGUACUAGCUGUAGAUCAGAGAGGAACUUCUUCAUUUACCUUUUGUACUAGUUGAUCUGAAUCUGAUUGCUAGCUAGCUGGAUAGGAUUUUAUGUAAGCUUAAUUAGCUUGGCAGUUAAUUUGGUGCAUGCAUACAUGCACGCAGUGGCGGAGCGUGAUGAGCAACUAAGAGGAGUCAAUCUCUUUUCAAUCCAAAAUCAAAAUAUGCAUGAAAAUAUGUGCGACUAAGAUCUAAUGCUCCAUGGCAGUAGCAUACACCCGAAUGAGGGCCUGUUUGGUUUCAAAUAAGUCACCAACUUAUACGUCGAAAAGUGAAAAAAGUGACUUAUUUUGUCAAACAGACCCAACUUAUAAGUCACCCCAACUUAUAAGUCAUAAGUUGUUCCACCCCAACUUAAAACUUAUAAGUCACCCCCUUUUGCGUGGAUCUCACCACCUUUACAUUAAAAAACAAGGUGAGAAGGUGUAGUCAGGUGACUUAUAAGUCAGAUGAUAACCAAACAGGCGUGACUUAUAAGUCAGGUGACUUAUUGGAACCAAACAGGCCCUGAGAAAAGUGGAAUAGUAGAAUAGUUUGCAUGCUGUCAAAAAAGUAGAAUAGUUUGCAUUGCAGCUACCAUCCUGCUGCUAGGUGACAUGAUUGACUCUGCAGUGCAUACACAUGCAUCUAUUAUUAUUUUUGGUCGGUCAUAUAAAAUAGAACAAAUAGGUAUAAACAAUUAAAUAUACACAUGAAAGGGCUGUUUGGUUGCCGGCCGCACCUUGCCACGCCAAAGGUGCGGCGCGCCACAGCUCCCUAGGCUGCUGUUUGGUUUCCUACGAAGGUUAGGCUCACCACAAUCUACAGUGUAUUUUGCGGCAGACUUCUUCACCAAAUGUGUGGUGCUUGUUUUGUACGCCACACUCUGCAGCGCGCCACACAACUGUGGCUCAAUAAGUUUGGCAAUUUAAGUAACCAACCAAACAGGCCUGAAGUAUAUAUAUCUGGAUUUAUCGUGCAUGCAUGUACAAUAUAUAUUACUUGAUGAAACAUGUGUUUUUUUCAUCAAUCCAUUUACAGUACGUGGUAUUAAAUGAACACAUUAACUCUAGCCAUUAUUUCAGUUUCCUAUAUUGGACAAGUGAAGUGUGGUAGCUGCUCACUGACACAAUGGAACAACUUGACAUUUGGGCGUCCAUCUUGGCCGAUCCUCUUCCAAGCCAACGGGUACUCACUUUGUUGAUCAGAUCACAUAUCUAUGUUAGAGACGAUGACUAGUUGGAUGAAUAGUUGGAUGCUUGGGUUUAUUUCAAUAUAAAAGUGGAGCCAGCCUAUAUGUCUAAACUAAAAAAUCUUAAGUUAUUUGAAAGAAGAGUAUAAGCACAACCAAAAUGGUCAAUAAAAAGUAUUGAAGCAUACUCCAUGGUUUAUGCAAGCUUUAUUUUAACUGGAUGUAAUAUAUGUCAACAAGCAUAGUUCAUAUACGAUCCCCACUCUUUAGAUCUUAUCAAAAUUGACUUGGAUAUAGAGUUCGGAGUAAAUUGCAAAAAACCACCACAUUCGUGGACCCUAAAUCAGAAAACUGCCACGUUUCAUUUUUUUUUUUUUGCAAAAACACACCGCCAUUGUACUGACAAAUUGCAAAAAACGUUGAUCAGUCAAUAAGCAGCGAUGGGUCCCACUUGGCAGGCUGACAUGGCACCAAGUUUUCACACCGUUUUACUAGCCCAUUAAAAGGUUCCCAGGGCCCACCCGUCAGCUUCUUGGCUUCUUUCUCUUCUCCAGAGCCUCUUAUCCACGGAUGAUGGCCUCGCCGGCGCCGCUCCCCCGCGCCUCACCUGCUGGCCAAGCCUUCCCUCCCUCCCCUUCCAUUGCCGGCAACCACGGCAGUUCCCGUGCUUCCCGACGGAGGCAGGGCCGGACGGAGGCUCGGUGGUCACGGGCUCACGGCGGCUGGAGGUAGCGGCGGUGCUGUCGUAGGUCGGGUCGAGCUCCCCCACGCCGAGCUCGCCGGUGACCUGAGGCCAACACGAAGAGCUCCCCGACCUCCAGUGCUCCUUAUUUCCCAACCCCGCGACCCGCCCCAUACUCGAUUAUCCCCGUCGCUGUUGCAAACCUCGGCCCCGCCAUCGACGAAGUUCAUGGUUGUCGCGGCCAACGACCACCGCAAAUCACUGAAACUUGCCGAAUAGACUCGUCGUCGUCUGAAUACUCUCUUCCCCAGAGGAAUCGGCGUGAGGAGCCAGGAACGGAGGAACCGUCGGCGUCGCUUUCAUCUUCUCUGCCUCCGGUGGAGCUCCGCGGCGCGCUGAUCUCCUCUACAACUAACCCAUGUGAUCUCCCUCAACUACAUCUACUUCGCAAGGACGUGCAGAAGGCACUGAUGCCUCUUCCUCGAGCUCUCUGCAUCCAAGGCCGCCCCCGCCCUUCACCUCUGCUAUGUCAUCCGCCGCCGACGUUGCGGCUAACUGCCAUGCUCCGCUGCUGUCCCCGUGUCCUGGACCCACCUAGGCGUGCUAAUCCAUUGAUUUCUGCCUGCACAUUGGCAGCUCACAACCCCACAGUAAACACACCGCGCGGCGAAGCUUCAGAUUUGCUCUAGAUCCAGCUCGUCGCCGCCCUCGCAGUUCAUGUCGAUGGCCACCUCCGGCGCCCGUUGCUCCUUCCCAUCGCGUGCAUGGCCACCGCCACGGCGUCGGGCGGCUCGACGAGGAGCAGGUGGUGGCGGCGCGUCCAAAAGAAGAAGGUUGCGGUAGCCCAGCAGCAAGGGGCGGCGGCGCCGACGAGCGUGCGGGCGCGGGCGCGCUGUGGCCUCCGGGGCGCGACUGGUUCGAUUUUGACUGGUCAAACCUGACCAGUUAGCGCCGUUAUUCCCUGCGUGACGGGCGCCGUCUCCCCCUCCGCCAGGUGGCAUCUGACAGUGGGACCUAGCGGUCAGUUUUGCAUCAAACGACUCUAAUCAACCUAGCAGCGUUUUUUGCAAACUGUCAGUACAAUGGUGGUGGGUUUUUGCAAAAAAAGAAACGUGAUGGUUUUUGCAAUUUACUCUACACUUCGCAACAGGGCUCGUCGAAAUCCCGACACAAUAACAACAUAUAUUUCAUUGUUCUUGAUGACAGCCGGAGAUUAAAGUUAACUCAACAUAUGUGGAUUACGGCACCAUGGACUUUCAAGCACUCUUGGAAGGACCCCAUGAUUUGGACAGAUGGCUGAAAGGUAAGAUGUUUAAUUCUUGUGGUCUAUUCCAAACUUUGUUACACAAGCAAGCAAUUUAUCAAUGGUUCAACUUUCAAACCAAAUAAUGUAUGAUUCCUUGCAGGUGCAUUCAUUCCUACUUAUAUAAAGGAGGCGAAUUUAACUCAUGAGGCAAGAUUUUCGCACAUCCAAAAGUACAAACUUGCAAAACAAAUGAACGUGGCAAAUGGCAUUGAAAAACUGUUUCAUCAUUGUAGAAUGAAUGCAAAUUUUAUUCACCAACUAGGGACCAUGGCAUGACAAUACAAACACCUAUGGCUGAGAAAGAGGAGGCCACUGCCACCACGACUCUCAAUGGCGGAGGAGGAGAUGAGAGAGGGAGGAGGGGCCAUGUACCCGCUGCCUUGUCACCGGAGAAGCAGAAGGCUUGCGGCCACCGCCACACCACCGGAGGAGGGGACCUGCGAUCUACUAGGUGUGAAUUAUGAAGGCUACAUUUGUUGCAAUGUACCAUUUGUCAUUGUCUCAAGUAGUUAAACACAUAUGCUAUGUGCUUCAGAUUACAUAGCAAAAAGUGGUUGGAGGCAUGGAAGUCGUGUGAGAAGUGCACGUGAGAGAGGAACAUGGUCGAUAAACAUAGAACCAUGCUCCCGAGACUUGCGUUCUACAAGUGAAGGCCAAAAACAUGGGAGCAGAAGAAACAAUGACCAUUGGACAUCUGAAGAGGUGAAAGAACUAGUGGAUGGCGUAUCUGUAUAUGGGGUUGGACCAUGGACUAAGUUGAAGAAUGAAAGGUUUCCAAUAUCAAUUCGAACAGCGGUGCAUCUUAAGGUAUAGUCAAUUGGUGAUUAAUUGCACUAAAGCACAAGCAUUACAUGCUCUCUCUGCUCAGUGGUUUUUUGUAUUUCACACUUUCUCUGUUCAUCUUUUAUUUAUCUAUAUAUAUUUUAUUGUAAAAGAUGCUAAUUUUUAUGUUUUGUUUAAUCUUUCAGGAUAAGUGGAGAAACCUAGUGAAAGCCUUCACGGUCAGGCCCACAUCUAAAAAUAAGAUUUUAUAUCAUAACUUUAUCAAACUCAUCAUGGAGCAGCACUGAUUUUUUCAUCUCUUGCAUUUCUUGAAUUCCAGGGAAAUGUGAAAAGAAGGAUCUCGCCUCGUCUAGAUAAGGAUUGCGUCGAAAAGAUCAAGAGGCUAGCAGCUGAUUACCCUCGAAAAUGAAGUAGCACUCGUGAAUGCUACGCGAAACAUCAUACAGUACUUUCGGUGUAGCAGUGACCCUGCAACAAGAGUUCUGUUAUUUUUCCAGAACUGUGAAGCAUAGGCUGUCAUAUUAAGUGUGUCGAGAGUAGAGAGUAGACUGAACCAUCUGAAUGGAACAGCCUCUAUCUCCUGCCUGACUGCCCUGUGAAGUACUAUUUUACUAUAUUAAUGAAAUGGGAAUAGCGCUCGCUCCUCCGAUCUGUUUGCCUUGCCGGUUUUGCUACAGUGCUGUAAUUAGCUUGACCUUUGGUUUUGCUACAGACCUGUGAAGUACUCCCUCUGUAAACUAAUAUAAGAGCGUUUAGAUCACUAAAGUAGUAAUCUAAACGCUCUUAUAUUAGUUUACGGAAUGGCACAUUUUGCUGGAAGCUUAUGGACCUGUGAAGCUUAAAUGAUAUCGUCUAGCACUGCUUCAAGCACCAGGUUUCUUCACUACUCUGCUUGUACCUUGAGCGACCAUCAGGUGCCGGAAUGGCUGCUUGUACCUUGAGGCCAGCCAGCUAGGGUAGUGUCUUUCUUGCUGCUGUAUGGUAUGGUUUGUUGUGCAUCCUGUCACUCACUCAGCCGGUCUGGUUGUUUGCACCGAUAGUCUCUUGGGUUUCAUCCAUUCUGCAAAAACUGGAGCCUGGAUACGUCCCUCUUGAUCUUCUCUACAAAGGAAUUCAGUAUGUACCCUUGAAGAUUUUAAUAGACGUUCAGGUUGUUUUCGAGCUUAAUUAGAAAUGGAUACCAUAAAAGGUUUAUAGUUCAGCACUUACUUUAAAUUUUAUUUAUGGUGAAGAAACAACACAAUUGUUCAGGUGUAAACCUUUUGCUCAAUGCCUGAACCUGAAGAAAUGCUACUAUUGUUCAUCAGAGUCAGAGACCAUGCAUUUUUGUUCAAUUGCCUAAUGUGUGUUUGAGUUACAUUUCCACCACCUGAUCAAACCGUAACAGCUAUAUAUAUACACGCGUAAAAAAAAGCACAGCUAUAUUAUAUAUACACCAUGGCUGGCUAUACAAAGAAAGUCUGGAUGUGAUACUCAGCUAUGGCUUUUGCCUGGAGAACAUGAUGAAUGACCUCUGCACCUUGCUGCUGUAGUUGACCAGGCCACAGGAUCUGCACAGGUCUUCCAGCUCUCCUUCAAUGAAGAAGUUGUAGCUGCUGUUCACUGGCCCAACAAUCUGCAGCGCAUAGCAGAGAAGGUGCAUCAGACUAGGUGCCAUGCAGAAAAGAAGUAGUAGUGCUAGAUGUUCGACGACUUCUUUUACCUGUCUCAGUGGCUUUAGUGCAUCGAUAGAGAAUAGGCCGCUGUUCGUGGGGGUGGAUAAGAAGGUUGUCGCUACGAAUACACCGCCGGGCUUCAGCACACGGCUGAUUUCAGCUAUCUGGUUUUCAAACAGCAGUGGGAAAUGUCAUGGUGAUGAAUAAGUUCAUAUGACAAAAAGAUAGGUACACAGGUCAGAUGCCCUGUUCCUGCGCAAAGCUGUUCAAAGCAAACUAACUAAGCACUAAACUAUCGUGGUUGACUUUAUACACGCAUUCAGCGGUCAAUAAUUAACAGAAAUACAGAAUAUUAUUUCUCAUGUAAUCCCGAAGUGGUUUAAGCUUUCUAGAUUGGCUAAUUGUUCAAUGGACUCUGGUGAAUAAAAUAGCAAUUCCGAAGACACCAGUUUUAAUAUGUUAAGUUAUGAAUCACGUACAAUAUUGAAUCAAAAGUGCAAACGAGACAGGUACUAUACCGCAUUUGAAGGGGAUGGCCAACAGUGGAUAGCGGCUCCAGCAUGAAUGGCAUCAAUUGAACAUGAAGCAAAAGGGAGCCUCGAAAUAUCAGCCCUUACAAGUGCGAGGUUCCUGCAGAACCAAAAGAAGAAAACAGAAAGUAUUUGCUGUACUGUACUUAGAACAAAAAGAACAUUCUGAGGUAGUAACAGAUUGAAGUAAGGGAGCAGAUUAUCACAUAUCAUUCAAUUACAUACUGAACACAUAGAUCCAAGUCUUUUUUGUUAUUAAACUAAAAUAAUCACUAGUUUCCACACAAAAAUUUGUGAUGGCCCAAGUUGUCUACUUGAUGGUUUGUUGGAGUUGGAUGUUGCAAGACAUAUUUUCAUGCCUCACAGGAAACGCUCAAAAUAAGCACGAAGGAAAGCUCACGCGUUCAUAGGGGUUUCUUCUUGUUUGAUGUAGUCAUAGCAUUGGCGGAGCAUAUUCUCAGAAAAGUCCAAAGCAAUCACAGAUGAGUAGGCCCCAGAGCUUGCAAACUUCCUUGAAAACAAGCCACUGCCGCAGCUGACAUCAACGAGUAUACCACCAGCAACUGAUUGGAACUGAUAAAGCAAACGGUACAUCAGAAUUAUACGCAUAAAAACAUGACUAUUAUGUAGACAUGAAAGAGUGGUGAUCAUGUUUUGUUGCAACACCAAAACAUGAAGCACCAAAUCUUACCUGCGACGGAUGUAUGAAUUUACAGGCCAGGUGUGUAAGAACUUAGUGAGCAGCAACAACUUAAGGUUAUGCAAUAGAAGAGUGAGGCGUCCUAGAAAUCUACCUCUUCGUCGCGGCCAGGGAAGCCACUCCGAUUGAAGUUCUGACGCCACCCCCUCUCGUAAAGAAACGAGACAAGUGGACUCCUGAAUAGCUCAGUUCUAGCAGGCUUGAGUUCACUGUAUUCUUUUAUUCCUGAGGUGACAGUGAGAUCCAAGAAGACAUCUUUGCUGGUGAAUGACUUGUUGCAUUUUGAACACUUGAAUCCGGACCUAUAAAUCGCUGGCCUGGGACACACGUAGAAGGGAAAACAAGAUAAAUCUUAAUCCAGCCAACAGAUAUGCAUGAGAGAUGAAAGAACGUAACUCAUGAACUUUAGACGUACAGGUUCAUGCCUGGCGGCCCUUUUCUUAUCAGCGGUUCAUAGCAAACAGGGCAUGCGAACACCUCGGUUUUUGAGGCAUCAUUCAGCUCGGUUUUGAUCUCCUGAAACUGUAAGCAUAGUGAGCGUCAGUUUCACACGGUAUGAAUAAAGUCCAACCUUGGCAUAACAUCAAGCGCUUACACUUAACACGACUGUAAACUAUGCUAGGAGUAUUAAGCAGGCUGCUUCUUUUCCGAAGCAUACACGAACGAUUGCUAGCAAGAUUAGCUCUUGAGAGUUAAAUAGUGGAAGCUAGAUUCCAGUCAUCCUAUGCAUGUAAGGCAACACAAAUACAGAUAUCAGCAGCCAUAUAAAUAUAACCAUUUAGCUCAGUCACUAAUCCACCAUGCGAGGUUCAAUCUUUGCAUCUGGUGGCCAAAUAUCAGCAGUGCAGGCCAUGACUGAAAAUAUCUGCUAAACUUACGCGUAGCUCUCAACUGAUUACUCUUCGAGCAAAUAUAAAGCCCGGUUCCUGCCAAAAGCCCCGACUAGGCAUAACACCAAACAUUUGGUGUGCGACAAUCGUUCCCCCCUUUUUCUAGCACACACACAACGUGUUCCCUUGCCUUCCCUUAGACGAGAAUCAGCAAGAGGCGUAGGUACGUACCGGGUCGAGGGCGAUGGCCGCCGCGGCGGCGACGGCCACCCGGCGAGCCGGCAGCGGCAGGCCUGGGCUGCGACAAAGGCGGCAGGGUACGCGCGGGGAUGGAGGGACGGGGAGGAGGAGGAAGCCGCCGCGGCUCUCACUGCGAGCUCCAUGGGAGCUGCAAAGCAAUUGCAGCCUGGAGUGUGGAGACGCGCCGGGGAAGAGAAGGAAAGAAAUGCUGUUGGGCAAGCUCGGGCAGAGGAGAGGAGCAGGGGUGUGGUGGUGGUGGUGGGCUCAGGCGUGGCGCCAGCUGCGUCCGUUCGGGCCUUCGGCCGGCCGUUGCAUCCCGAUAUUAGGGGCAGCACUCUUGCGCCGGUCGAUCGGCUGGAUUCCAGAUCGGUCACCUCCUGAGCCCUUGGAUUCGCACAACUAGAGUCGUUGGAUCAAGUUAACCCCUUCACACGCACGACUCGUGCUCUCUGCUGCACGCGCACUCCACACUGGGAAAAGAAAAGGGGGACGCCGGCCCGCAUCCCAACCGAGUGUUGGUCUUCGACCUCAGCAACGCCGGCUGCCACGGGAGGCGGCACGCAGAACCCGCUCGCCGCUCGCAUCACCACUAGAUCCUCCUCGCAGCACUCGUUGUCGCCCCUUGUAGCACCCGUUGUCCCCGCUUCCGGCGAUCGAGCACGAGGUCGUCGCCAUUGCAAUGCAGCCCACCGCAGCAUUCCUUCUCCGAUGGUCGUAGCAUCUGUCGUGGCCAGUCCCAACAUCCUCGAUCGACACCGGGACGAUGAGCGUGUACUCAUUCGACUGCACUUGACGUAGUUGUCAACAAGCGGGUAGCUUCAGACUUCAUGGGAGUAUCAGAAGUACAACUCAGCAAAAAAAAAAAAAAACGUUCCCUAGUAGCCACCAAAUUGCAAAACCCGGAAUUUCUUUCCAGUUUGCACUGCCCCCCUCCACCCACCCUUGCAACCGCGCAGCGGACGCACUGCCAACCACGCUACCAAACAAACAUUCAAAGAGAAAAAGGGGAGGAGAUGUAAAUUUCCUUCACAGUUCAUCUAGCAGAAGACAACCCCAUUGUUCAAAUGCUUCUUCUUCUUGUACAUUUACUUCAGUUACAAUGGCGAACAACCGGGACAUUGACUUGUAAACUGACAAAAAAAAUCAUUUACGCACGUAUGGUAGCUGCUACUGGUAGGAUGGUACCUCCUGAAUUGCUUACAAAAUCAGAGAGACAGAACCUACACAAGUAAAAAACGACGGUUGCUAGCUACUAUGAUUCAGUUCAGGCGAUGGCGACCGUGGUGAGACGCCGGGCAGCCGGUGUCGGCAAGGGCGGAAGUCGCGAGUUGAAGUUCCUGUACCGGAAGGCGUCGUCGUCGCUGCCGCCCUCGUCGAAGUUGAGCGCAUAGCUGAGCGGGUCGUACCUGAACUCCCCCAUGGCUGCCACGCAUCGCCUCCUCCUGGCCCUGCCGCCACCGGUGUGCGGCCUCCCCGCGCCGGUGACCGGUGAAGAAGGCGAGCCGAAGCAGCCGCAUACGGUGGUCCGCAGCUUGUGGCGCAGCUCGGGAGGCGAGUAGGGCGACGAGGACUCCACCGCGUCCAUGGGGACUCCCUGCUCUUGUACUUGUGGAGUUGGAGAUGAUGUGGUUGGUCGAGUUGUGAGGUGUGUGAUUCACAUUUGACAGUGUGCUCUGCUGCUGGUGUAGCAGAGCACACUGUCAAAUGUCAAUCAGAGACUAAACCAGCGAAUACCAAGCCUUGUCUCAUUUUCAUGAGUCACGCUGGCAGGAGGUGAGAACAGAAGAAAAGUAGAAACAGCCAGGGAAAAAGAAGAAGAAAAUGGAAACCUUUCACUGUCAUUGCGAACAAAGCUUCUUAAACUGUAAGUAGCCAUGCUGGCACCCUGAUCUCGCAAAUGCUGACCACACAGGGUAAGCCUGGACAGAAGGGAAGUCAUAAGUAAAAAUUAUGUAUGUGUAUCGAUAUAGCAAUCAUUCACUCAAAAAUUAAAGUUAAACAACAUGGUACAAUUUCAGGACAUUUUUGGGACGUCAGAUAAACCCGUUCCCAUUAAUUUAUCAAUAAGAGUAGCCUCCAGCAACAUUCUAAAGUCAUGCAAAAGGAGAAAGCUCAAAAGCCUGCUCCCUCUCUCCACUAUUCUGCAAUUGGGAACAAAAACAAGUCCGUAGCCAAAAAGUAGGGAACACGAAAACUGAUUAGGAAGAUAAAAGAUUCCUUUUCAAAACAAGCAGUGUUUCUUAUUUCCAAAAUUGACCACCAUAUUAGGUUGCCGCCAUAAAAAAAAAUAGGUGAUCAACUUUCUCCUUCGUAGUACAAAAACAACACCUUGUAUGCGCAACUUGUGUAUAUAGAUACCACAUAACGAAUUCACACCAAUAUAAAUUUCUGGGAGAAUCUCAUGUGGCCAUCCCGUAAAAUAAACACCCCCUUGAGCAGUACUAAGCAUAGCUUAUGCCAAGAAUCAUUCAAGUUGACCAAACAUACUUGACUAUGACUGAAUCCAAGACUUUAAAUUCUAAUUAUGUACUUCUAAUGAGAAGUCCAAGAAAUCUGCUUCGACAAUACCAGGCACAGACAAUUACAUUAUAACUGGAAAUUAUACUAAAUAAUGAAAAGCACAAAGACUCAUCUUCCAUCCAGGGGUCAACAAACUAUAUAAUCUAAGCAAUUGUGCACCGUAAAAACAUGAAUGGUAAAACAAGGAAGGAUAAGGUCUGGCAGUACACUUGAAGUAAUUACCUGUCCAGAGGCCAUCGGAAAUUAUCAGUUGAAGCAUUUCCGAAGUAAGAAAUGGGAGUACCAGCCUCCAAGAUCUGCCGAAAUAAAUUGACCACAACCAGUAUGAACAUCACCUGCACAAAAUUUCGGAUUGAGAUGAUAUCAGGAUAAUGUAAUUGUUUGGUGUAAGAAGGAACUGUCCAUGAACGGGAAAGACAUAUAGGGGAACCUAGCCGAGCACCAUACUAAUGGAUGUUGUGUUGCCGGAGUGGAAAGAAUUAGUGAAGAGUGGUAGGGGCAUAAAUACACGUACCUGUAACGAGUCAACGUAAGGAUGGGCACAUCACCUGCCAUGAAUGCCUGCAGAGAAACUGAAGGAUGGUGGAUUCUUCAAAUCCCAGCGGGGCAGUUGUGCUCAGCCAAACAGCCAUGGUGUCGGCCUACAUCUCCCGCGCAGGCUCUCCUUGCCCUAAACCGUGGGACCGAUCGAUACAUCACCUCCUCUCUCUAGCAGAGACCGUCCGCGUCAGCUCGCUCCCCACCCCCGUCUCUCUCUCUCUCUCCCUCUCCCUCCUCCUCUCCCUCCCUCCCUCCUUUCUCCCUCUCUCUCUCUCUCUCUCUCUCUCUCAGCCUAGUUACCAUAGGGCUUCAAUUUUUCCUCUGGAAAAGCAGCCCUCUAGGACUUUUUGGCCCAGGAAUCAGAAUGUAUGGUGAAAGCCGGAGUAGACAACAGACUAACGUUCAAGGUUGCCCAAGUGACGAAAAUGGAUGUCCAGAAACGCGCAGGGCGUUAGACGGUUGGAAAGCUGCUCAGUUUUACUGUCCUAAAAUGUGGCUAAAUUUCCAUAUAUCAGAAACAUAGCUCGUCACGACAUAGUUCAUUGACCGCGAACGAAGGCCUAGAUUUUGUUUGUUAUUGUGUGAAUCACUGAAUCGAAAAUGACCUGAGCGGGUUGUGAUAACUCGGGUUGCCAAUUUCGCUGCUUGUUUAACAGAAGAAAAUCGCAUCUUCUAACAUUUUCCUAGAGUGUUUACAAAAGCAACUGUUGAAAAAGCACAGUUCAACAACCACAAACCAGAGAAUUUCUUGAACGGACUAAGCAAAUCUAUACCAAUAUAAGAAAACAUGAGUUAGGAUGAGGUUCGUUUGAUCUAAGCUCACCAAAAAAUAUAUUUAAAUUUUAUAACCAUCAAUCCCAUGGUUGUGGGCAAAUAUUAUACAUUUGUUUGGCUAAGCUCUGUUAGGAUGGUUGUCACCAAGAAAACACCAAUAUGCAUGGCUUUAAAGUAUAUGUUUGGCUAAGAAGAACUGGCGAGUAUACAACUGCAUCUGACCAUCGGAGUGCUACACUGAUAAAUAGAAAGGCUAACUUCUGUCCCAAUGCUCUUUUUUGCGACGAAAAUCUCAUAGCAGCGCUUUUUAAACUAUAUGAUUUCAUCGGCAUGGACAGGAUGAACCCGCAUCAGAAAAUCCCGGUGCAUCUUUUUCAUCCUCGUUCACCUCUUUGGUUCUCCCUUCACCACCGUUUCCUUCUAUUCUCUUGAGCUCAUCUCCCACCUACAUGCUAAGAGUCACCACCACGAUGUAGGCUUCUAGGAUCUCCUUCCUACUCCUAAUAGUCGCCACCAGGAUGUAGCGUCAGAAUUCAAGUGCAUGGAUCCCUAACUCCGGCAAAGGAACAUUCAUAUAAAAGUUUGAAUCAUCAUUUUUGUCAAGGGAUGUAAUAUAUUUUUGUGUUGUUAUUAUUUUGCUAGACACAACCUCAGCCUAAGGUUGACAAAGGGAUAGAAAUAGAAAUAUGUUCUCUCCAAAGGACAAUAUAGGGAUCUCACAAUUUCAAUAGAUGUUCCAACAUCUUCUGCGCGCCAGAAUUCUCCGCAUCCUUUACCCUUGACAUCUUAUCACUUAAAGUCACCCAAAUACCACCUUGGGUUUCUACCUGAACGGAGUAAACAAAUGUCCUAUCAUGCGCCAGGCCUUCUUCCUUCUCUAACCUGAAAAAAAGAAAACAAUGAAGCAACUGUGUAGGGCUGAUCUAGGCAAAAUGUCAAGUUAGAUAAUGCAACGAGUGGUAAGCAUUCAAAUCCCCAAUGUGUCACUAAACUUUGCUGGUCAUCUCAACUAAAACCAUCAGUUAAAUUAAAAUAAUUCUCAAUCCACCACCCAAACAUAAUGGCAUUACAAUCCAAAGCUAUACUUUUACUUCCAUGUUGCACCUAGUGGUUUCUGAUGAAUUGAAUUCUCACGAUGAAAGAUUGACUGAACCAAUAUUCAUACCUUCUCUCCAGGGACAUAAAGAUCAUCAAACCAUGAUAUGCAUCAAAAGACAAAAUAUGUUUGGAUAGAAGUAGUACAUGGAUGAUGACCACUGGUGUGACAGGGGCUGCAACUCAGCCCAGAUCUUAGUGAACAUGCAAGAAACCGGCGCGCCAGAUGCACCCUAUGGGCCAUAGGACGAGGCUGCAGACCGACCCUCCUGGUCAGAUCUAGCAGAGGGCGGCAACUCUAUGCGUGGGCAAGCACCUCCCAGCCCAAAGAACCGACUGACCAAGGUCAGAGGCCAUGACCGCAUCGCCGCCACGCGGCGACGAUGGAGGACAAUAGCUCCACUGCAGAGGCCAACAAACGAGGCCAUCGACUGGCCUUCUUGGACAGAUCCAGCGAUGCACAUCACCUCCAUGCCUCGGCGGGCAUCUCACGUCCCAACGCAACAACAGGCCGAGGCAGCGGCCAAGAACGUGUCGCUCGUGCGCGCAACACCACGGGAGUUGCACGCCACCAUGCCCGAGUGGAACCCCACAGUUCUCCGAGCCGCGUAGCUGACAACGCCAUGCGCGGAGGUACAGAGAGGAGGAGCAAGGGUAGAGGGAGGGAGGAGCGCCCCGCCGCCGUCGUGAGCCAGCCUGUGGCCGGUGACGGCGGUGCGGGGAGGACACGAAGAGAGUAGCGGUGGCGAUGAGAAAACCUAACCCACAACCCACCCAAGAGGGCGAUGCGAGGUCCUCGCAAGGAGUUUUUUCACGUCGUCGUUUACUGCCCAUUUUCUGAAAAAAGAGGGAUAAUAAUACUACUAUUGAGCAAGAACAAUGAAGGAUCAGGCUGCCAACAUGUAUGGAAGUUAGGAUUUUCUUGAUUUGUUCAAUAUAUUUCUCUACACGAACACGGUAAGGUCAAGACUGAAGGUGAGGAAGGAUGGUGACGGGUGCAUGGAAAGGAAGAUGUGUGAGUGGGUGAUUUCUGUGUGUGGGUGGGGACAGCAUGAAGUAGGCUAGGCGCGCAAAAACAGAUAUGGGAGCGAGAUAGGAGAUGAAUGUUACAGGAAGUAAGAGAGGAGAAAUGUGGGCAUGGGCUACUAGGAAGGAACACAAAAGCGAUGGAGGGAGUGGGACAAUGCCCGGAGUAACAGCGGUGGGCAGGAAAAAGAAUGGGAUAAAGCAAGGAUACAUGCCCAUCAAAUUUUCUAUUUUUCUGAUUGGUUAAGAUAGUAGCUGACUGCAAGGUGGCUCAAUGCAUACAUACAAAUAAUCAUGUCAAGUAGCUGCCGACUUAGUCAAAAUAACUUUGUUUCGAAACUAACAAAGUGCACAUUUUUUACAAUUCAAGGUAAUGUUUUAGACGGUUUUGGAGUUCUAGGUUGAAAAGACAUACUCAAACCAUAGUUUAAGGUUGAAAAGUAUCACUUUUUUCAUUUCAGAAAUGUCUUAGCACUAACUAAGAUGCUAAAAUGUACAAUGAAUGCUGAACUGAUUUUAUGAGUUCCCAAGGACGGUAUAUAUAGUACAACCAUGAUUCAGACAAAAUAAAGAAAUCAUUCUGGUUUGAGUAUUAAAUCAACAUGAAAGCUUCCCCAACAGCAUUAGCAUAUAGUUUUUUUAGUUUAUGGAGUAUGGCAUUACUCUUUGCAAUCUGAAGCUUGAAUUCCCAGCAAACCAGGACUUAAGAGAAACAAAACAAGUUUAAUCUAAAUAGUUACUUUUGUUUUCCACUUUUAUGCUUUUUAAACAUACCUUAUUNNNNNNNNNNNNNNNNNNNNNNNNNNNNNNNNNNNNNNNNNNNNNNNNNNNNNNNNNNNNNNNNNNNNNNNNNNNNNNNNNNNNNNNNNNNNNNNNNNNNNNNNNNNNNNNNNNNNNNNNNNNNNNNNNNNNNNNNNNNNNNNNNNNNNNNNNNNNNNNNNNNNNNNNNNNNNNNNNNNNNNNNNNNNNNNNNNNNNNNNNNNNNNNNNNNNNNNNNNNNNNNNNNNNNNNNNNNNNNNNNNNNNNNNNNNNNNNNNNNNNNNNNNNNNNNNNNNNNNNNNNNNNNNNNNNNNNNNNNNNNNNNNNNNNNNNNNNNNNNNNNNNNNNNNNNNNNNNACUAGUGGUUUCCAUACUGCAUCUGAGUGAUGGUCUCGACAAGUCUGUUCCAGACCUACCGAGGUCAAAGUACUAGGUUGUUUAACAGAAAUGACCAAAAGUUACUACCCUAAGAUAAAUGGGAACAAAGGUGAAACUACAAUAAAGAAACAAAAUAAAAUGUGCAGCGGUGAAACAGUUCUAAAGAUGCCCAGAACAAAUAUAUGAUAAACAAACAGUUGUACUGUAGGUGUGGGAAAGAGGUGCCUCAUCUGAGGAGCAUUGCAGGAAAAGUUCAACUAAUGAACAGGAUAUAUAAAACUAAAAACUGACAGAGUAGUAAAGAAUCUUACUUAAAGAUGGGUUUUGGCCAAUGCUUCCUGCUGCACUGCUCAAUAAGCUUCUGCUUGCAUUCCCUAAGCUCUCCAACCUCAACCCCCAAUCCAUGGCCAACUCCGGUUGUCAACACUUGCUGAUUGCCUCCACCAAGAAGCUUGCUUAAUGCAUCCCUGGUGGCAUUGAGCUUAGCGAUUACCAUCUGCUCUGAGGAACCCAUCCCAACAAGUGCCCCACCAACAAAUACAUUUACAACCACUGUUCCACCCUUCUGCCAAGUCUUGAAUUUUACAUCUUUCCCAUGUUUCUGGCACAGUUCAUGCAACGUAGACACAGGUUGCUCGUCUAUUGUUUCUGCCGUGACAAUGGGCUCAAAGAGGAACCUUGUUACCUACAUAAUAAACAGUGAUAUCAUUAUCACCACCCAUUAUUCUAGUGAACUACUCUCUUCGUAAAUAAAUAUGUCGUUAGAGAGCAGAGAUCCAUUUUUUUUUUAACUUUCACAAAUAUUAUUGGUAAAGCUAUCUUGGAUUGGUCAUACCAAAAUGAAAUCAUUCGAUUCUUCAUGGAAAGUUACAUAGAUUUUUAUCAGCGUAUUAUGACUAGAAUUAUUAGUUAAGUUAUUUUCUGGAAACCUCAGAUCAACAUAUUAAUGAAUGGGAAAUAACAUGAAAAAUGGAUUACAAACCUUCCAGAGCUUCUCAAGAUUAAAGUUGCAAUCCACAUAGACAGCAGCGGCAAUGGCCUCAACUAUAUCAGCAAGCACCUUGGGAGCCUUAAAUACAGUGCCACCAUAGGGCGUAGUGCCAAGGUCAUCCUCUAAUUCUUGUUUCACUGACUGGAUAAACUGUCCUACCUGCAUAAAGGUAUACCCAGUAAGAUAACAAUGGUAGCCAAAAACAGUUCAUAUAAUAUCCACAUCUCCAAGAGAUAACAUCAAUCACUUAACAAUUGAAAUGUAUUAUGCCUUACGAACCCGAACGGAGCGGCGGGAGUACUUACCAAUUCCAGUUUCAGCAUUCCUAAAUACAGAAAUAAACUUAUUCUUGCAUCACUAAAUCAAAACUAAGAUGUGGCGAGAGCUGCUGUAGAUACAGUAGAUGUUUAGCUCUAUGUUUUGCCCUCAAAUUAAGCCCAUCGAACCGCUCGAGCGGACAGCCAAACGUGGAUGCUUUUAAUAUAUAACAUCUAUAUGUAAAAACAGAGUCCAACAAAUCUAUGACUUCUAACUCAGGGGAGGAGGAUCCGAGGAUGCAUACCAAGAGAUCGAGGCGAGGACAGUUGCGUCGGAGCAGCGGGUAGAGGUCGUGGCGCACGGCGACGCGGGCCAGCUUCUCGGUGGAGAUGUUGGCGGCCCGUAGCGUGGAGAGCACGCCGGGGCCGACUGUGGGGUUGGUGAGGUAGAGGAAGUUGGAGAAGGCGAGGCCGAGCGCCGCGUCCCCGACGAACUCGAGCCUCUGGUACGAGGCCGCGGCGAAGGACUGGUGGGUGAGCGCCUCCUCGAGCAGGGAGCGCUUGUUGAACUGGUACUGGAGAAGCCGCUCCACGCGGGCCGCCGCCUCCUCCCUGUCCGCCACGAAGCCCGGCGGCGGCAGCGUGACGGGGGCCGACGGCGCAGGCGGCGAGGCGCGGCGCUUGCGGGAGCCGGGCUUCAUCAUCUCUCCCUGGUGUGCCGGUGCGCGUGACCGUCUGGCUAGAUCGGAAGGCGGGGAGAUGAAAUUUUGGAGAGGAGGCGCCGCCAAAAAGAAAAAAACAGAGGAGCUCACCUUGCUAGACGAGCUCGUGGUGGCGUCGGCAGCUGCUACGAACUGAGAGGAGGGCGGGGGGGGACGGGGAUCCGGCCGGAGUUUUGGCGGCGUCCGCCGGAGUAGAGUGCCGGCCGGGCCUGUUGCUGCUGCUGGAGACCGGGGCGGGGGCGGGUCACGCCAACGGGAGGAGGAGGGACCCUACCCGCCCGCCAUGACGCCGGAGGGAGCCGCGCCGAGGAGCUGCUCACAAGGGAGCGGCGGCGGCUGCGAGCGGGACUGGGCUGCGAGGGUUUCGCGUGAGCGAGGGGGAGGAAAGGGGAUCCAGGCCUGCGAGCGGGACUGGGCUCUUCGCCUGAUUCUUUUUUUGCGCGUGGGGGUUGCGGACUUGCGGGCCUGCCAGUGGCAUUUUUGUUGUAAUAUGCUCAAAUAAUAGUGUCAUUUCCCUAUACCCCUUCGGGUUUAAGAGCAUCUCCACCCCCGCCUUCUUUUUCGCGGGCGCAAAACAAAUCGGCCAGUCGCGCCCGGAACCCAAAUUUCGCCGGUUUGAGCCGAAAUUGGCGCCGGAGGACCCAGGACGAACCUAGCGCGCUGGGGGAGACCGGUGGCGCCGCGGAAAAGAAAAAUGGCGCGAAAGCAACCCACACCAGAUUCCCCCCUCCCCUUUGGGCCCGCCGAGUCAGCGACUGUGCUUUGUCGUCCUCAUCGCCUCGCCUCGGCUCCCGCGCGAUUCAAUGCUGUCGCCGGUCAACCUUCCAUCAAGACUGGUGGCACAGUAAUGGCGAGCCACCGUCUCGUGUCCCCGCCCUUUCCUGCCACGCGUCUACACCGCUCCCGCCCUCUCGCCGUUAUAAAAGCCAACCUUCGUCGUCGCUCGCCGCACACUCGCCAUCUCUUCGCCUACACCGCUCCAGCGCCGACCAUCUCUUCUCCUCACCUUUCUCGCCCAAAAUUUCGAGGAAAGCGCCAUGGCGGAGAGGUUUCCUGGAGAUGGAGCACCAGCGCCGUGCUCCGGAAGAAAUCGUCGAGUGGCGCCGCGGCCGCGACCAGGGCGGCGUUUUCGUGCUCGACGACAGCGACAAGGAGGUCACUGCGCCGAGCAAGCCGUUCCGCGCCAACGAUCCAGGGCAGGGUUGUAGCCACGCCGCCCCGAAGGACGAGCCGCCAAGCGACGGCGACGAUGACGACGCUGGCGACGACUACACCGUCUUCUACAACCUCCUCGGCAUGAAUUAGGCGUAGUUUUUUAAUGUUUUUAUCAAUGUUUUUUUAAUUCACCAAAAUAUCAAUGAAAUCGCCUAUAUUUCAUCCAAAUUGACAUAAUUUCGUCAAGUUUGGGCGUUUUAAAAAAAAUUGCCUUCUGUCGUUGCGUGCGCGACUAGGAAUCGGUGCCCCCCCCCCCUCCGGCAAAAAUUCCGUCGGCUACGCCCCAAGAGGCACUAUUUUCCCCCAAAAACGCCCUUGGGGGCCGAACGGCUGGAGAUGCUCUAAGUGAGAAGCUGCCGGAAGCACNNNNNNNNNNNNNNNNNNNNNNNNNNNNNNNNNNNNNNNNNNNNNNNNNNNNNNNNNNNNNNNNNNNNNNNNNNNNNNNNNNNNNNNNNNNNNNNNNNNNNNNNNNNNNNNNNNNNNNNNNNNNNNNNNNNNNNNNNNNNNNNNNNNNNNNNNNNNNNNNNNNNNNNNNNNNNNNNNNNNNNNNNNNNNNNNNNNNNNNNNNNNNNNNNNNNNNNNNNNNNNNNNNNNNNNNNNNNNNNNNNNNNNNNNNNNNNNNNNNNNNNNNNNNNNNNNNNNNNNNNNNNNNNNNNNNNNNNNNNNNNUUUCCAUUGUGAAGGGAGUGAGGGUGGUUCGACAAUAAGGGUCUUUUCUCAGCCCGAUCAGCAUAUCGAAUUUGCUGUGAGAUGCAGCGGUCGGAGCAACCAUCCGCUUGGUGAGAGCUCGGUGGAUGGGAUGCAUGGAAGAACGAAGAAUGUGGACCAAUCUCUGAAAGUUGCGAUGCCCGGGGAAAGUUCACCAUUUCUUGUGAAGACUAGCCCACAAUAGUCACCCGGUGCUAAGAAAUGUGGAGCGAGUUGGCGUGGAGUUGGACACGAGUUGUGUUGUGUGCCAUAGGCUUCCAGAGGACGGGGGCAGAAAUGCUACACUUCCGCCCUGAUUCUUACUGAAUAUAGUUACGGGCUGAGCUGUGAAACAUUGAUUGGCAAUCAGGAGGUGGUGGGACCCGCACUGAAAAUCAGGGGUGGGAAGAGAUUGAUGGAGAAGAGUCGUAGGUGAUUUCCGUGUCAUCUUGCCCGUAAGUGUACGUGGACGGCGCCUUUGAUCCGUCUACUCAGCGGGCCGGGUGGGGUUUUAUAGCGCGCGAUCAUGAGGGAGAUGCCGUGUUCGCUGGUGCAAAUAGGCGAGGCCCUUCAUGCAGAGUCGUGUGCCAUGAUCAAUGCAAUCCAGUUGGCAGUUGGCAGAGACACAUGGAAUUGGGAGGGUUGUCUUUGAAACCGACUCGUUGGGGCUGGCUCUACCUCUGAAUUCCUCUGUGCUCGAUCGCUCACCGCUCGGCACUGUUUUUCGUGAGACAAAGUAUAUACUUCAGUUGGGUUUUAGUCUUUGGAGUAUUGUCCACUGUCCUCGUACUUAAUUGUAAUGUUCCGGCACACGAGCUGGCUGCGGUAGGUAGGAGUGGAGCUUAGGGAGAACAACAUGUUUUUUUUUCGAAAAGGGGACUCCCCGGCCUCUGCAUCAGAACGAUGCAUAUGGCUACAUUAAUAAAUAAGUAAAAAGGUUCAACAAGAUCUUAAAGUCUGGAAACAAAACAAAAUAAAGGCGAACUCACAAAGAGCCUCAACGCCGCAAAAAAAGGCCAUAGAGCCACAACCGGCUGGCAAAACAAAGAUAGGUAAACUAAUCGCCUAUCCUAUUACAUGGCCGCCAUCCAAACCGGUUGAAGAUAUCCCGUGCUACCAUCUCCCACCGGACAGAUCCAGUAACCAAACGCUCCCUGGCCUCCAUCGGAGUGAGUAAGGACCACAUACGGAGCAGCGCCGUAGCUCGGAAUAAAACCUGCAAAAGAUGAAUAGUUGUUGUUCUGUUAAAAGUCAAAUCAUUUCUGCAGUUCCAAAUUGCCCAUAACAACGCACAUACUCCUACAUGAAUAUGUCUAGCUGUGUCGGGCUCAAUCCCGUCAAGCCACGUUCCAAAUAACGUACCCGCCAAAUUCGGAGGAGUGAUGUUAAAGGCAAUUUGCACGGUGCGUCACAAAACUCUUGCCAGCGGGCACUCAAAGAAGAGGUGCUUAAUGGUCUCGUCCCGAUCACAGAAACUACACCUAGUAGAUCAUGUCCAAUUGCGCUUAACCAAGUUGUCCUUUGUUAAAAUGACUUGUUUAUGUACAAACCACAUAAACACUUUGAUCUUCAAAGGAACUUUUACUUUCCAAACAUAUUUGGAACUAGGAAUGACACUGGAGUUAAUGACGUCGAUGUACAUCGACUUGACCGUAAAUUCUCCAGACCUAGUAAUUUUUCAACACAACUGAUCGGGCUGAUGAGCUAACUGAACCUCCAUCAGUCUACUCACCAAAUGGAGCCAAGCUUCCCAUCAAUCACCAACAAGCACCCUCCGAAACUGGAUAUUAAGGGGAAUGGACUGCAUAAUCGUUGCAACUAACGCUUCACGUCGUUGAACAAUACGGUACAGGGACGGGUACUGGAGGGCCAGUGGCGUAUCACCAAGCCAAGUAUCCUCCCAGAAACGGGUAUUGUUGCCAUCACCGACUAUAAACUUUGUUCUAUUAAAGAAGGUUGUCUUAACUCUCAUAAGACCCUUCCAAAAUGGCGAAUCAGUUGGCCUCGCUGUCACCUGAGACAAAGUUUUGGACUGCAGAUACUUGUUAUGGAGAAUCUGCGCCCAAGUUGCGUCAGUCUCAACAGAUAACUUAUACAGCCACUUACUGAGAAGGCAUCUGUUCUUGACCUCAAGAUUCUCAAUACCCAGACCCCCUUGAUCCUUUGGUCUACAGAUUACAUCCCACUUGGCUAGUCGGUACUUUCUCUUUAGUUCAUCACUCUGCCAAAAAAAUCUUGAUCGGUAGAAGUCCAGCCUUUUCCUAACCCCAACUGGAACUUCAAAGAAAGAUAGUAGGAACAUCGGCAUACCCGUGAGCACCGAAUUGAUAAGGAUCAACCGGCCUCCAUAAGACAUAAGUUUGCCCUUCCAGCAACUAAGUUUCUUCUCGAACCGAUCCUCGAUGCAUUUCCACUCUUUGUUUGAGAGCUUGCGAUGGUGAAUGGGUAUACCAAGGUAAGUAAAAGGUAAGGCCCCUAAUUCACAUCCAAACAAUUGCCUAUAAGCCUCUUGUUCCUCCUUGGCUCUACCAAAGCAGAACAGCUCGCUUUUAUGAAAGUUAAUCUUUAAUCCUGACAAUUGUUCGAAUAAGCAUAGCAGCAGCUUCAUAUUUCUCGCCUUUGCCAAGUCAUGCUCCAUGAAGAUAAUUGUAUCAUCAGCGUACUGUAAAAUGGAUAUACCCCCAUCGACUAGGUGGGGCACCAAGCCACCCACCUGGCCGGCCUCCUUUGCCCUACCUAUGAGAAUUGCCAACAUGUCAACCACAAUAUUGAACAAAAUAGGGGACAUUGGAUCACCUUGCCUCAGACCUUUGUGUGUCUGGAAAUAAUGACCUAUAUCGUCAUUCACUUUAAUUCCAACACUCCCUUUUUGCGUGAAGGAUUCUACCUGGCGCCGCCAAGCUUCAUCAAAACCCUUCAUGCGUAAAGCCUGUUGCAGGAAGGGCCAUUUGACCUUGUCGUACGCUUUCUCGAAAUCCACUUUGAAAACAACCCCAUCCAACUUUUUCGUGUGGAUCUCAUGGAGCGUAUUGUUGGGGAACGUAGUAAUUUCAAAAAAAUUCCUACGCACACGCAAGAUCAUGGUGAUGCAUAGCAACGAGAGGGGAGAGUGUUGUCCCUCGUAGACCGACAGCGGAAGCGUUAUCACAACGCGGUUGAUGUAGUCGUACGUCUUCACGAUCCGACCGAUCAAGUACCGAACGUACGGCACCUCCGAGUUCUACACACGUUCAGCUCGAUGACGUCCCUCGAACUCCGAUCCAACCGAGUGUUGAGGGAGAGUUUCGUCAGCACGACGGCAUGGUGACGAUGAUGAUGUUCCACCGACGCAGGGCUUUGCCUAAGCUCCGCAACGGUAUUAUCGAGGUGUAAUAUGGUGGAGGGGGGCACCGCACACGGCUAAGAGAUCUCAAGGAUCAAUUGUUGUGUCUCUGGGAUGCCCCCUGCCCCCGUAUAUAAAGGAGCAAGGGGGAGGCAGCCGGCCAAGGGGAGAGGCGCGCCAUAGGGGGGAGUCCUACUCCCGGUAGGAGAAGGGAAGGGGGAAGGAGAAAGAAGGAAGGGUGCGCCCCCCUUCCCUAGUCCAAUUCGGACCAGACCAAGGGAAGGGGUGCGGCCACCCUUGAGGCCUUUCUCUCCUUUCCCGUAUGGCCCAUUAAGGCCCAAUACGAAUUCCCGUAACUCUCCGGUACUCCGAAAAAUACCCGAAUCACUCGGAACCUUUCCGAAGUCCGAAUAUAGUCGUCCAAUAUAUCGAUCUUUACGUCUCGGCCAUUUCGAGACUCCUCGUCAUGUCCCCGAUCUCAUCCGGGACUCCGAACUCCUUCGGUACAUCAAAACUCAAUAAAACUGUCAUCGUAACGUUAAGCGUGCGGACCCUACGGGUUCGAGAACUAUGUAGACAUGACCGAGACACGUCUCCGGUCAAUAACCAAUAGCGGGACCUGGAUGCCCAUAUUGGCUCCCACAUAUUCUACGAAGAUCUUUAUCGGUCAGACCGCAUAACAACAUACGUUGUUCCCUUUGUCACCGGUAUGUUACUUGCCCGAGAUUUGAUCGUCGGUACCUCGAUACCUAGUUCAAUCUCGUUACGGGCAAGUCUCUUUACUCGUUCCGUAACACAUCAUCCCGCAACUAACUCAUUAGUCACACUGCUUGCAAGGCUUAUAGUGAUGUGCAUUACCGAGUGGGCCCAGAGAUACCUCUCCGACAAUUGGAGUGAAAAAUCCUAAUCUCGAAAUACGCCAACCCAACAAGUACCUUUGGAGACACCUGUAGAGCAUCUUUAUAAUCACCCAUUUACGUUGUGACGUUUGGUAGCACACAAAGUGUUCCUCCGGUAAACGGGAGUUGCAUAAUCUCAUAGUCAUAGGAACAUGUAUAAGUCAUGAAGAAAGCAAUAGCAACAUACUAAACGAUCGAGUGCUAAGCUAACGGAAUGGGUCAAGUCAAUCACGUCAUUCUCCUAAUGAGGUGAUCUCGUUAAUCAAAUGACAACUUAUGUCUAUGGCUAGGAAACAUAACCAUCUUUGAUUAACGAGCUAGUCAAGUAGAGGCAUACUAGUGACACUCUGUUUGUCUAUAUAUUCACACAUGUAUUAUGUUUCCGGUUAAUACAAUUCUAGCAUGAAUAAUAAACAUUUAUCAUGAUACAAGGAAAUAAAUAAUACUUUAUUAUUGCCUCUAGGGCAUAUUUCCUUCAGUCUCCCACUUGCACUAGAGUCAAUAAUCUAGAUUACACAGUAAUGAUUCUUACACCCAUGGAGCCUUGGUGCUGAUCAUGUUUUGCUCGUGGAAGAGGCUUAGUCAACGGGUCCGCAACAUUCAGAUCCGUAUGUAUCUUGCAAAUUUCUAUGUCCCCACCUGGACUAAAUCCCGGAUGGAAUUGAAGCGUCUUUUGAUGUGCUUGGUUCUCUUGUGAAAUCUGGAUUCCUUUGCCAAGGCAAUUGCACCAGUAUUGUCACAAAAGAUUUUCAUAGGACCCGAUGCACUAGGUAUGACACCUAGAUCGGAUAUGAACUCCUUCAUCCAGACUCCUUCAUUUGCUGCUUCCGAAGUAGCUAUGUACUCCGCUUCACAUGUAGAUCCCGCCACGACGCUUUGUUUAGAACUGCACCAACUGACAGCUCCACCGUUCAAUGUAAAUACGUAUCCGGUUUGCGAUUUAGAAUCAUCCGGAUCAGUGUCAAAGCUUGCAUCAACGUAACCAUUUACGAUGAGCUCUUUGUCACCUCCAUAUACGAGAAACAUAUCCUUAGUCCUUUUCAGGUAUUUCAGGAUGUUCUUGACCGUUGUCCAGUGAUCCACUCCUGGAUUACUUUGGUACCUUCCUGCUAGACUUAUAGCAAGGCAUACAUCAGGUCUGGUACACAGCAUUGCAUACAUGAUAGAGCCUAUGGCUGAAGCAUAGGGGACAUCUUUCAUCUUCUCUCUAUCUUCUGCAGUGGUCGGGCAUUGAGUCUUACUCAACUUCACACCUUGCAACACAGGCAAGAAUCCUUUCUUUGCUUGAUCCAUUUUGAACUUAUUCAAAACUUUGUCAAGGUAUGUGCUUUGUGAAAGUCCAAUUAAGCGUCUUGAUCUAUCUCUAUAGAUCUUGAUGCCCAAUAUAUACGCAGCUUCACCGAGGUCUUUCAUUGAAAAACUCUUAUUCAAGUAUCCCUUUAUGCUAUCCAGAAAUUCUAUAUCAUUUCCAAUCAGUAAUAUGUCAUCCACAUAUAAUAUCAGAAAUGCUACAGAGCUCCCACUCACUUUCUUGUAAAUACAGGCUUCUCCAAAAGUCUGUAUAAAACCAAAUGCUUUGAUCACACUAUCAAAGCGUUUAUUCCAACUCCGAGAGGCUUGCACCAGUCCAUAAAUGGAUCGCUGGAGCCUGCACACUUUGUUAGCUCCCUUUGGAUCGACAAAACCUUCUGGUUGCAUCAUAUACAACUCUUCUUCCAGAAAUCCAUUCAGGAAUGCAGUUUUGACAUCCAUUUGCCAAAUUUCAUAAUCAUAAAAUGCGGCAAUUGCUAACAUGAUUCGGACAGACUUAAGCAUCGCUACGGGUGAGAAGGUCUCAUCGUAGUCAAUCCCUUGAACUUGUCGAAAACCUUUCGCAACAAGUCGAGCUUUAUAGACAGUAACAUUACCAUCAGCGUCAGUCUUCUUCUUGAAGAUCCAUUUAUUUUCAAUGGCUUGCCGAUCAUUGGGCAAGUCAACCAAAGUCCAUACUUUGUUCUCAUACAUGGAUCCCAUCUCAGAUUUCAUGGCCUCAAGCCAUUUUGCGGAAUCUGGGCUCACCAUCGCUUCUUCAUAGUUCGUAGGUUCGUCAUGGUCUAGUAACAUAACUUCCAGAACAGGAUUACCGUACCACUCUGGUGCGGAUCUUACUCUGUUUGAUCUACGAGGUUCAGUAAUAACUUGAUCUGAAGUUUCAUGAUCAUCAUCAUUAACUUCCUCACUAAUUGGUGUAGGUGUCUCAGAAACUGGUUUCUGUGAUGAACUACUUUCCAAUAAGGGAGCAGGUAUAGUUACCUCAUCAAGUUCUACUUUCCUCCCACUCACUUUUUUCGAGAGAAACUCCUUCUCUAGAAAAUUUCCGAAUUUAGCAACAAAAGUUUUGCCUUCGGAGCUGUGAUAGAAGGUAUACCCAACAGUCUCCUUUGGGUAUCCUAUGAAGACACAUUUCUCCGAUUUGGGUUCGAGCUUAUCAGGUUGAAGUUUCUUCACAUAAGCAUCGCAGCCCCAAACUUUAAGAAACGACAACUUUGGUUUCUUGCCAAACCACAGUUCAUAAGGCGUCGUCUCAACGGAUUUUGAUGGUGCCCUAUUUAACGUGAAUGCAGCCGUCUCUAAAGCAUAACCCCAAAACGAUAGCGGUAAAUCAGUAAGAGACAUCAUAGAUCGCGCCAUAUCUAGUAAAGUGUGAUUACGACGUUCAGACACACCAUUACGCUGUGGUGUUCCGGGUGGCGUGAGUUGCGAAACUAUUCCGCAUUGUUUCAAAUGUAGACCAAACUCGUAACUCAAAUAUUCUCCUCCACGAUCUGAUCGUAGAAACUUUAUUGUCUUGUUACGAUGAUUUUCAACUUCACUCUGAAAUUCUUUGAACUUUUCAAAUGUUUCAGACUUAUGUUUCAUUAAGUAGAUAUACCCAUAUCUGCUUAAAUCAUCUGUGAAGGUGAGAAAAUAACGAUAUGCCAGCACUUCUUAUAAAACUCGGCAGGAAAAACCAUCGGGUCCCGGCGCCUUGUUAUUUUUCAUUUGCGAAAUGGCCUCAAAAACCUCUUUCUCAAAAAAAGGAGCUGCAAGAAUAUCAUUCUCCACCUCAGUGAGUUGAGGAACAUCCUCAACCCGGGACUCAUCCAGAGACACAUAGUUAUCCUCUGGAGGACCAAAUAACUGCUUGUAAUACUCUGUAAUAUACAACUUUAGGUUUUCCUGUCCUAAGAUUGCUCCUUCAUCUUGCUCAAGCUGAAAGAUCCUCUUCUUUCUAUGUUUACCAUUAGCAAUCAUAUGAAAGAAUUGGGUGUUCGCAUCCCCCUGGACUACUCGCCGGACCUUGGCCCGCGACGCCCACUUCAAUUCCUCUUCUCGAAGAAGUUCUUUCAGCCUCAUCUCCACGUCAAGCUUGGCAUGAAGCUCCGCGGCCGGCAGCACCGUGGUUUCUGCUUUUACAUCUAGGGACUGAAUAAGGGAAAGGAGCCUUUCCUUUUCGACCUUAUAAAUCCCGCUAAGAUGCUUAGCCCACCCACGUAGAAAACUUCGCAAAUGUCUAAUCUUAUUCUGCCAGCGCUGAAGCGCAGUCUUCCCUCCUGCAUCCUUAGCCCAUUCUCUGGCUAUGAGAUCAAAGAAACCUUCUCGCUCAAACCAAGCCAGCUCAAAGGAGAAAGAGUUUUUGUUACCCAGAUGGGUGGCCAUGGAGAACAAAAUGUAUGGUUGUCUAAUCUCUCUAUCAAUGUAACCACUGCUGUGGCCGUCGAUUUGGUCGAUCCAUCGUAAUCUAUGAAAUGCCAGGUGUUCCAAGUCAAAAAAAGGGAGUAAGGGUGGAAAUAAUAAGUUGAGCUGAUUUUUACAAAACGAGUUCUUUUACACUUUUUGCUUAUUUUGACAAUAAGCUACUAGAAGCUAUAAAAGAACUGGCCUAAGAAACGAAAAGGAAUCUGAGAAGAACACGGACGCGGUAGCACUUGAAGGAGCGCCUCCACCAGCAGAAAGAAAACGGAAAUGUAACUGGCGACCGUUCGCUAGGAGGCUAGUCCCGGUGAACGCACUCUCUCCCGUCGGAUUGGUGUGCAUGAAUUUUUUCGCAGGAUCGAAGCCACAUCAGAUCUUUUUUAAACUCAUUCGCUACAAGAUGAAAGACAGCGAACACAUUGCCAUUGGAAACACUACAGCCCCCGCAGUGGCUAGUGACGCGUCCCUGGAGACUUGGUAUUGCACUCUAGCCUCUCCCUUUUUCAUCAGAUGGCAAUUUAAAGAGGGCAAAAAAAGAUGCCCAUCUUACGCACACAAAGAAAAAUGACCAUCCUUUUUUAAAUAAAACAACAACGUAGAUAUGGAAUUGAAAUUUCAUACAUAUGCCACGGGAAAUAAAAGAGUGAAGUGCAUUGUAUGUCCCUAAACUAUUUUAGGACUAUCAUGUAGGUCCUCAAACUAUGAAAAUGGGCAUUCAGGUUCUUAAAGUGCAGUAAGUGUGUUAUUUAGGAUCAAAAUAUGUCCGACCACGCCUGACCGGCCAGCUGGCGCAAUUGACCCAUGACACGUCGGACAUGGGGCCCUGCAAGGUAACAGCCGGUGAUGAAAAUAUGCACAAAAAAAUCAAAUAAAUUCCAGGGAAUGAUAAAUGCACUUCACUCCAAAUAGAUUCAAAUUCAUGGUUUCAAAAAAUGUUUGCGAAUAUGGAAAAAAUGUUCAUGACUUUAAGAAAUGUUCACGAACGAUAAAUUUGAAAAUGUAUUCGUGAACCACAAACAUUUGUGGUUCAUGAAGAAGUUGUGAACAUAUUUGAAACCAUGAACAUUUAUAUUAAUGAUUUAUUUGUAAAUUCAUAAACAUAUUUUAGAGUUCAUAAAUAUUUUCUUAACCCCAAACGUUUUUUAAAAAAAUUGUGAAUAUUUUUAAAAUUCACAACUUUCUAAAAAUAGCUAAUGUUUGAAAAAAAGAUCAUUUAUGAAUUUGUUGAAAAACAAAUUCAAAUACGUCGUUCGUGAUUUUUUUCCAUAUUCAAGAAAAAAUUUGGGGUUCGCGAACAUAUUUUCAAAUUUAUCAUUCACAAACAAUAUUGGUGGUUUUUGAACAUAUUUUCUUUUCUUUCAAAAUUUAUCAUUCACAGAUAUUUUUCUAAAGCCGCGAAUAGUUUUUUCCAUAUUCAUCGUACGCGAACUUUUUUUCAAAUUCAUCACUCGUGAACAUUUUUUUUAAGUCACGAACAUUUUUCCAUAUUCGCCAACAAUAUUCGUGGUCCAUGAACAUAUUUUAAAAUUUAUCUUUCGUGAAUACUCUUUUGAAGUUGCGAACAUUUAUUCCAUAUUCGCGAACAUUUUCUGUUGUUUGCGAACAUAUUUCCAAAUUGAUCGUUCGUGAAGAUAUCUUUUUUCUUUUCAAAUUUAUCGUUCGCAAUCAUUUUUUUAAUAUCACGAACAUUUUCUCCAAAUUCAUCGUUCGCAAACUUUUAUUCCAAAUUCAUCAUUCAUGAACUUUUAUUUAGAUUCAUCGUUCGCGGACAUUUUUCUAAAGUCGCGAACAUUUUUCAAUACUUGCGAGCGUUUUUUUAUUUAAUGAACAUUUUUUUCCAUAUUCGCGAACAUUUUUUGAAAUAAUGAUUUUAGUUUAUUUGCGUAUUUCCAUCACUGGCCGUUACCUUGAGGGGCUGUCUGACGUGUCACGGGUCAGCGACACCAGCUGGCCGGUUAGGCAGGGGUGGACAAUUUUUGGACUUGAAUGACACACUUACGGCACUUCGAGGAUUUAGAUGACGAUUUCAUAUUUUGAGGACUUACAUGACACCCAUCAAAUACUUCAGGGACCUACAAUGUACUUCACUCGAAACUAAAACAACCAUCUAAUUUGACCACGACCCCUGCCACAUCCAGGGCCAUGUCUAACUCAUCUUAACCAGGUUGCUCACACAUCCUUAAAGACAAGGGGCGGCGGGGGAAGGGGUGAAUCCCAUCGCCGUACUCUUUGUACAUGUGACCAAGGUUUCCACACACCGAGCACCAGUUUGGGAGUCGUUCAUAUUUCACGCGAAAGAUCUAGCUCUUAUUAUCCGGGAUAAGUGAAACAACAUAAUUUAAAUGCUUAUUAACAUUGAUCUUAACUUCAGCUCUGGAAAAAAUUCCUCAAAAUCCUGCGACUUCGGCUCAGCAUAGAUAAAUUCGCUAACCUUCCCUGCUAGUGAUUUCAGUAACAACACAUACUCAUCUGGUAGGGCGUGGAUUUAGGCCCAUAUCUUUAGAGAAUCGAGCUUGAACGGCGAGGGUUUUAUAAACCCUUCGUAUGGCGCCAACACCACGAAAUUACCACGAAAAUUCCAAGGCCCUUCUUCCAUAACCCAUUUCGAAUCGUCAAGGCAAUAGGACUCCAAUGUGUAAACGUUGUCGUUCAGGGUGCGAACGGUCACCUCCUUGGCAAAACUCCACACCACUCUCAUGUUCUUGUAAAAACAGUACUCGGGCAAUGGCUAUCCAUAUGGACUCGGGCAAUGGCUAUCCAUCAUGUCAAAUUAGCCGCCAGUGCUUCAUCCUGUUGCACAAGAACAUCAUGGAGGUCGUCGUCUUUGAGCCCAAGUUGCCAUCACCGCUGAGGAGAAAAGCUAACCCUAGCAUGAGGGGAAAAGGAGGUCUUGGUGAUGUCUAAUAUGUUUUUUUUAGACAAUGGCGGUGUCCAAUUGGUGAUCCGCAUUGGAGUUGCCCUAAGACUUGGUUUGGUGCGUGUGAUGUUAUUUCAUGUAAACGGAAUUUCAAUGGUGUGGCCCAUGAGUUGGCCCAAAUAAGUGUGUGUGUAUGUGCGCGGGUAGGGUCUCGCUGUUAUUGGGAGUAUAAUGUUCCAACAUAUGUUGAUAGGGAGAUUCAAAAGAGAAAAUGUUGAUAGCCUUAUAAUAGCCGAUUUGCCAACUAUUAUGCCGUAAUAAAGCCCCCCUCAUGCUGAGUUAACAGCAACUUCAGGUGACAGGCCCGUGGCUUGGCCCGGCUAGAAGUACGUGAUGACUGCUUUUUGCCUCAGCAGACCCUGGACCAGCAAGCUGGUGUAUAUGCUUGCGUCGUCGGCAAUACGUACUACCAGGCUAUUUAGACCGCGACGUAUGCUUCGUAGCGAGCGGUGUGGUACUAAUGUUUCUUUCGGCAUAGUGUGGUACACCGCUCGGCCUAACCGAGCGGUGUCACGGCCCAGCUAGCCACCUCGAUCGUCUUCCGUCCAGCUAAACUGUGCCUCUUGUCCAUACGGGGGUCAUCAGCACCAUGCAAAUGGUCACCCAUGCUUCAUCUGCCGACGACUGAGCCCCAUGCCGACCUCAUGCAUCUCUAAUUAGUUUCAAAGCUACGUACUAUUGUAUUAUACACAUGCAAAUUUUUAUACUAGCAUGUUGUAACAAGAUGCAAUCAAUCGUCUAAAAAAUGUUUCAUGAUGCAAUUAACAAUCGCAAUCCUGACGCCUCUGGUUGGCUACAAAACUGAGAUAGCCAAGUCUGCAUUUGCCAUUGGAUCCAUUAAGUAAUCUCGUUUCCAUGGACUCUCGCCGGUUCUCCUCACCUGCUCCGGCCCCAAUGACCACGACAACACGAGCAAAAUCACCACACGAGCCAUUCGCAUUAUAUACGCCACAUGUAGACGCAUGUCCAGUCCAGUCCAGGUCACUACGGCUUUCCAUCGACACAAUAUCAAGAGGAGCUCUAGGUCCGGCCAUGUCAGCGACAGUGGUGGAGAGGUGGGUGGGGCUCGGAUCAGCGGUGGCGACCGUCAUCUUCCUCUGGUCCGUGGUGCAGAACUACGUGCCCCCGACCGACCUUCUGCCUCUACCUCACCACCUGGGCCACCAAGCUCGCAGCCUCCCUACCUCCAGAUCACCAUUUCCGAGUACGGUGCCGAGCGCUUCCAGCGCAGCGACUUCUUCCUCGCCAUCGAGGCCUACCUCAGCAACGCCUGCACCCGCCACGCGCGCAAGCUCAAGGCCGAGCUCGGCAAGGACAGCAAGAACCUUUGGGUCUCCGUGGACAACCACGAGGAGGUCACUGACGACUUCAACGGGAUCACCAUCUGGUGGUACGCCUCCAAGAGGCAGUCCAAGGCCAACGUCAUCAACUAUACCCCGGCGGGGACGAGAGGCACUUCUACCGGGUCGUCUUCCAUCGGCAGCAUCGCGACCUUGUCGUUGACUCCUACCUUCCUUUCAUCCUCGACGAGGGUCGCGCUGUCACUGUCAAGAACCGCCAACGCCGCCUCUUCACCAACAAUGCUAGCGGCAGCUGGAACCCCUACUGGGGCAAAAGCGUCUGGAGCCACGUCCCCUUUGAGCACCCUGCCACCUUUGACUCGCCAUGCACCCCGAUGAGAAGGAAGCCGUCAUCGACGACCUCAUGGCAUUCCAGGAGAGCAAGGAAUACUAUGCCAAGGUCGGCAAGGCAUGGAAGCGCGGGUACCUCCUUUACGGACCGCCCGGCACCGGCAAGUCCACCAUGAUCGCCGCCAUGGCCAACUUCCUCGACUACGACAUCUAUGACCUUGAGCUCACGGCAGUCAAGAACAACACCGAGUUGCGGAAGCUCUUCAUCGAAACAACGGGCAAGUCCAUCAUCGUCAUAGAGGACAUCGACUGCUCCGUCGACUUCACAGGAAAACGCCGCAAGGACAAGAAGGCCUCAAGCGACAAGGACUCCGGCAACAAUGACAAGCCCAAGUUACCGAUAGAGCCGGAGAAGGACGAUGCCACCAAGGUGACGCUCUCGGGCCUGCUUAACUUCAUCAACGGGCUGUGGUAUGCUUGUGGAGGUGAGCGGAUCAUCAUCUUCACCACCAACCACAAGGAGAAGCUGGACCAGGCGCUGAUUCGGCGGGGCAGGAUGGACAAGCACAUCAAGAUGUCCUAAUGCUGGUAUGAGGGCUUCAAAGUGCUCGCCAAGAACUACCUAGAUGUCAUUGAGCACGAGCUGUUUGGGGGAAGUUCAGCGCCUGCUUGAGGAGACUGACAUGUCGCCCGCUGACGUUGCAGAGAACCUGAUGCCCAUGUCGAAGAAGAAAAAGAGGGACCCCGACGUGUGCUUGAUAGGCCUCAUCAAGGCGCUCAAGCAGGCCAAGGAGGAAGCGGUGGCGGCCAAGGUGAAGGAGGUAGAGGAUGCUCAAGCGAAGAAAGUCAAGGAGAAAGAGGAGACACAGGUGAAGAAAGCCAAGGAGGAAGACAAAGCACCCGAGGCAGCCAAUGGGGAUAUUAAGCAAGGUGACAAGUGAAGUGACAUCAUGCCAAGAAGCCAAGUAAAAUGAGUGAGCUUGUUCACUAGUGCUCCCUUACAAAGCAAAAAUGCAGUGUUUAAUGCACCUCUCAACUGAAACAAUAUUUAUUUCUUCUCUCACUUGUAAUGUUGCUGCAUAUAAAGCGUGCAACAGUACAAAAUGCUUCUGUAAUAACAAACACAUGCUUUACCUACACCAAAAGGCUAAGAGCAUCUCCAGCCGUUCGGCCCCCCAGGGCGCCGAAAAAGAGCGGCCUGGGGGCGAGCUGGCGCUAGAUCGGUCCCUGGGGUUCGUUUCUCCCCAGCCACGCCCCCAGGUGCCGCCCCCCAAGGCGCCCCAUAUUCGAACUCCAUUGUUUCCGCUCAAAGAAACAACAAACCGGUGACCAUCGCAAUAGUUCGGCGAUUCGGUGCCACAGUUCGGCGAUCAAAUAAAAGGACACGCAGUAGUUCGGCGUACAGAAAAGGAAGGAUGCGGAAGGAGUACAUCAAACGUCGAGCUCAACCUCCGGCGGCGGCGUCGUCGGCGUACGCGGGCUGGAAGGAGUCGGCGCGGCUUCCGGGCUGGUCGGCGCGGCGGAGGCAUCGUCGGUGGGGCUGGGCGUCGCGGAGGCAUCGUCAUCAGCCACCGGGCUGGGCGGCGGCGGCGGCGGCGGUAUAUGAUUCAGGAUGCGGCCGCGCUCCGCCAAGAACCACGCCUUGAGCUUCUCGUCGCUGCUCUGGAGCAUGUCAGCGCCGCCCAUCAAGAAGGCGAGGUCGUUGUUCCUCUUCUUCGCGUCUUGAGCUUUGAGUUUCGCGGCGGCGUUGGUCCAGAGCAAGUCGGGUUUGACGGCGCUGUUCGUCAUCAAAACAGCCCACCUCGCCUCAGUUUUCUCUUCUCGCUGGGCGGCCCUGGUCUUGGCGUCGGCGAGGCAGUGUUCGAUGGACUCUUGCACGCGCGCGGCAGCCGACUCGGCGUAUUUCGCCUUCUUGGCACAUUUGUUGCCGUCCGGGCGCCCGUCGGCCGCACCCGCGGUCGGCGCGUCCGGCUUGUACGUCUCUUUGGCUUUAGCGAGGGUGCGUCGGACGGCCGCCCAUUUCUCGCACUUGUCGAUCCGCUUGAAGACGUGGAGGUACUUGAACUCUACGUCGCUGUUGUCAUCGUGGAACAUGGCGAGCAUGCGUAGCAGCUGCGCCGAAGGAAAGAACAUCGGACUCUACACUAAAGCAUAUCAUCGACUAGAUUCCACACAACAUAUCAUUGGACUCUACACUAAGCAUAUCAUCGGAUUCACUAAGCAUAUAAUCGGAUAAUUUGCAUUUGUAAGUAUAACAAUAAAGCAUAUAUAUAUAUAUAUAUAUAUAUAUAUAUAUAUAUAUAUAUAUAUCAUCAAAUUACUACAGUUAGUAUAACAUACCAUAUCAUGCCGAUCAACCAUGGUACUUGUCAGGCGGGUCACGAAUGGCACCCCGACAAAGUUAUCACGUGGCGGAAUUAUGUCCCAUAGGUUGCACACCUCCUCCUCGCUCAGCCUCAUUCUUUGAGCUACAAUGGCUUCAUGAAGUAGGUCCUCAUCAUCUUCAUCGAGUGGGUCCUCAUCAUCUUCAUCCUUGUUGAUAUAAAUGACAGCCAGCUUGGGUCUUUCUGCUCUAAAGGAGAAGCUGAUCAACUCACCACCAGUAACACCCAUGCGGGCAAGGAACGGACCCAUCCAUCUCCUCCAAUCUGCAACAUAUUGCGUCGUUUCUCGACCUCCAUAGUGUAGGCCCCCCUGAGGGAGUCCUGGACUAAGGGGUCCUCGGGCGUCUGGCCUAUUAUCCAUGGGCCGGACUGAUGGGCUGUGAAGACAUGAAGGCCGAAGACUGUACCCGUGUCCGGAUUGGACUCUACUUGGCGUGGAAGGCAAGCUUGGCGACCGAUGAUGAAGAUUCCUUCUUAUGUAACCGACUCCAUGUAAACCCUAGAUCCCCCCGGUGUCUAUAUAAGCCGGAGGGGUUAGUCCGGAAAGGAUACACACAUUACCAUAGUCAUAUAGGCUAGACUUCUAGGGUUUAGCCAUUACGAUCUCAUGGUAGAUCAACUCUUGUAAUACUCAUAUUCAUCAAGAUCAAUCAAGUAGGAAGUAGGGUAUUACCUCCAUAGAGAGGGCCCGAACCUGGGUAAACAUCGUGUCCCCCGUCUCUUGUUACCAUCGAUCCUAGACGCAUAGUUCGGGACCCCCUACCCGAGAUCCGCCGGUUUUGACACCGACAUUGGUGCUUUCAUUGAGAGUUCCACUAUGCAGUCGAUGAAAGGCUUGAUGGCUCUCCUUGUCCUUAAAGAUAACAUCACCGCCGGGGUAGCUCUGGCCCCGGGCCAAACCCUCCGGGUGGGCGACUUUACUAUGAUCGCCCGUUCGGCCGUUGAGCCGACGAUGACCUCUCGGGCCAUCGAAAACCCCCUCCGCAUCAAUUCCGAGCACUCCAAGCAGAUGGAUCCGGCUGAGUUUUCGUCCUUAAACGAGCUCCUAGAUCGCAUCGACGCUUUGGGAAUCGCCACAGAUUACGAUCGGAUCGGGCCUAAAACCGAUCAGGGAGAAAUCGAAACUCUAUCGAUCACCCACUAGCUUGCGGUAGUCGUGGAGCAGGACGGCGAGUCUUCUUCUAUACCGAAGACGGACUAUGUUCGGAUCGCCGUUCAUGAAGAGCCGGAUACUCACCCGCGAAAGGAUGUGACCCGCCCUCCGAACAUAGCAUCGGACGGCGGUCCCAAACAAUCAGAAGAUAUUCCGGAACCCAGACUGUCAAGCCCAGAAGGUCGUCAGACUCCGGAUAAUCGGUCAGGUCGGGGUUCGGAUUUAAUUCCACCCACCCACCUGGACAUAGACGCUCUCAUGAGCAUAAAACAACAGUCUCAGGAAACGGUCCACCACUUCUGGGCCAGAUUCCUCCUUGUCAAGGACAAGGUAAAAGAUUGCCGUGACGAGGACGCAAUAUCAGCAUUCUGCAAAAAUUGUGCAGACAAAGGAAUCCUCAACGCCAUCAAUCGCCGCCGCAUACUGAAAUUCGCUGACUUAGCAACCAUCGUACAAAAGUAUAGCGCGAUGGAGAGCGCCUGGGAAACUCGGGCAGUUCGCUGGGAACCGUCAGUCCCAACCCAACUCCCCCUACAGGCGAAAAGGGCGCACCCUCGUGGCAUGCCCAGUCCAACAGUCAAGACACACAAAGCCGCUAUACGGCAUGGCACCGUUCUGGAGGGAUGGCUCGAUGCCCCAUGCAAAAUACAUACAACAACGGAUACCGUGGCAACCCACAGCCUUAGAGCAUGUUGGAUACUACGACAGGUAGCCAAGAGCGGCGAGGACAUCCUUAUCAAGGACGCCCCGGAACAGCAUACCCCAGAAGACAACGACUCAAGAGUAUUGACGGUCUUUGAGACAUUCGCUUCAAACAACAAGCGCAAAAGGGCACUUCGCGAGCUCGACGAAGUUUGCCAAAUUGCUGUAAUAAACCCAUGGAACGACACGGCGAUAACAUUCAACGCCGGUGAUGAACCGAAGUACAGAACAGUACGAGCACCAGCCGCGUUAGUCCUCAGUCCCGUCGUGGAUGGGUUUCGACUCACCAAGGUCCUCAUGGACGGCGGCAGCGGACUAAAUCUCAUUUAUGGGGAUACAUUCCAUAAAAUGGAAAUAGACAGGAGCCGCAUCAAGCAAAGUAACACAACCUUCCGGGGAAUUAUUCCUAGUCGGGAGGCGCAGUGCGCGGGCAAAAUCACACUUGACGUGGUAUUUGGCACGCCGGAGAACUAUCGGUCCGAAGAAAUAACUUUCCAAGUGGCCCCUUUCAGUAGCGGAUAUCACGCCCUGUUGGGGCGGGAUGCUUUUACAUGCUUCCAAGCUAUACCUCAUUACGGGUAUAUGAAGCUCAAAAUGCCCGGACCAAACGGUAUAAUCACUCUCGUAAGUGAUCCGGACAUAGCACUCCGCGCUGAAAACAAAACCACAUCCCUGGCCCUGGAGGCGCUAUCCGAAGCCCUCGUGGCCGAAGAAUUAACCGCACUACGCUCCACGGUGGACAGGGACGAUGUGAUCCUCGACAAACGCCCCAAAUCCACCUCAUUCAAACCAGCAGAAGAAAUAGUCAGAUUCCAGGUCCACCCAACGGACCCCAAGAAGAUAGCAUCUAUCGGAGCUCAACUAAACCCAACAGUUGACGCCGCACUACGAGAAUUCCUGCGCGAAAACUGGGACAUAUUUGCGUGGCACCCUUCGGAUAUGCCAGGGAUCCCACGCAAGUUGGCCGAACAUAGCCUCAAUAUAUUAAAGGGAUUUAAACCAGUCAAGCAAACACUACGGCGCUUUCCGAACCCAAGCGACAAGCCAUGGGGGAGGAGCUGGCCAAGCUUAUCGAGGCCGGAUUCAUUAGAGAAAUCAAACAUCCGGACUGGCUGGCAAACCUGGUGAUGGUACCAAAGAAGGAUAAAUCCUGGCGCCUGUGUGACGAUUUCAAGGAUCUCAACAAGGCUUGCCCUAAGGAUCCCUUUCCCCUUCCCUGCAUUGAUCAAAUCAUUGACGCCACCGCAGGACAUGACUCAUUGUGCUUCCUCGAUGCAUAUUCCGGAUACCAUCAAAUCAAAAUGAAGGAAUCCGAUCAAGCUGCAACAGCAUUUAUUACCCCAUACGGGUCAUUCUGCUUCAACACUAUGCCCUUCGGGCUCAAGAACGCCGGCGCGACAUACCAACGCAUGAUUCAAACAUGCCUGGAGAAACAGAUCGGCAAAACGGUAGAAGCUUACGUCGAUGACGUCGUCAUCAAAACUAGGCAUGUCGAAACACUAAUAGACGACUUACGUCUUACGUUUGACAACCUCCGGGCAUAUGACAUUAAGCUCAACCCGGAAAAGUGUGUCUUCGGCGUCCCCGCUGGAAAACUGUUGGGCUUCAUCGUCUCCAAUAGAGGAAUCGAAGCAAAUCCGGCUAAAAUCCGAGCUCUGUCACAGUUGGCUACACCAACAAACCUCAAACAGGUCCAAAAACUGGCCGGAUGCGUGGCAGCACUAAGCCGCUUUAUCUCCAGACUAGGAGAAAAGGCACUCCCACUCUAUCGCCUCUUACGGCGCACUGAUAACUUUGAAUGGACAGACGCGGCGACUGCCGGACUGGAGGAAAUAAAGACCCUCCUAGCAAGCAAUCCAAUCCUGGCCGCACCAAACGCGGGUGAACCCAUGUUGCUAUACAUAUCGGCAACGCAUGAGCGCCGUGCUCGUCGUCGAACGAGAACAGGACGGACACAAAUUCCCACUUCAAAAACCAGUAUACUAUGUAUCUACUGUCCUCACACCAUGAAAAUCCCGGUACCCCCACUACCAAAAGAUAGGGUACGCGAUCUUCAUGGCAUCCCGCAAGCUACGACACUACUUUCAGGAGUGUUCAAUCACGGUGGCUUCUGAGGUCCCACUCAAUGACAUAAUAAACAACCGCGAUGCCACGGGACGUAUCGCCAAAUGGGCCAUAGAGCUACUUCCAUUCGACAUAACAUACAAGCCACGUCGAGCCAUCAAAUCUCAAGUACUGGCCGACUUCGUCGCCGAAUGGACAUAGGCCGAACUUCCUAAAGAGUAUGGCGCAUACUCCAAUUGGGUCAUGUAUUUUGACGGUUCCAAAAUGUUGGCAGGACUAGGAGCGGGAGUCGUAUUAACAUCCCCCAUUGAACACGUCGUCUAGUAUGUACUUCAGAUAUUAUACACAGACUCCAACAACGCAGCCGAAUAUGAGGCCCUACUGCAUGGUCUUCGGAUGGCCAUAUCCAUGGGCAUAAAACGCCUGGAGGUGCGCGGGGACUCGAACCUCGGGAUAUCUCAGAUAAACGGCGACUUUGACGCCAAAGAUCCAAAGAUGGCAGCUUAUCGCAAUGUCGUAUUAAAAAUAUCGGCUCGGUUCGGGGGCUUGAAUUUCAUCAUGUUUCCCGAGAAAGCAAUCAAGCAGCGGACGUCCUGGCUCGCAUCGGCUCUAAGCGCAACCCCGUCCCACCUAAGAUCUUCCUGGAAUGGCUUUUCAAGCCAUCCGUGGUGUGGCAAGGGGAGGGCGGCGACAAUAAUUCAGAUCCGAACACAACCUCAAACCCCGAACAUACAGACAGUGCCGGGGGCUCAGCCACCGAAAUAACACCAUCGGCCCAUCUCAUCAUGGCAGUCAUUGCCCCAUGGACCGAACCCUUCUUGGCCUACAUUAAUAGGAAGGAGCUUCCCAACGACUAGAAUGAGGCUCGCCGCAUUGUCAGGUGUUCGAAGGCCUACAAGGUUCACGACGGAGAGCUCUACAAGAAAAGAACUACCGGAGUACUUCAAAGAUGUAUCUCCGAAGAAGAGGGGCGACAGCUUUUAGCGGAAAUUCACGCUGGCCUCGGCGGACACCACGCCGCAGCUCGGGCCCUCGUUAGCAAGGCCUUCUGUACUAGGUUUUAUUAGCCGACAGCCCGAGCGGACGCGCAGGACCUUGUCCAACGUUGCAUCGGAUGCCAGCUCUUCGCCAACCAAAGCCACAUGCCCCCAACUUCCUUGCAAACUAUCCCCAUUACUUGGCCUUUUGCGGUCUGGGGCCUCAAUAUGGUUGGACCCAUUAAAGGGGGAAGCCAUAAGAAAAAUAUCUGCUGGUUAUGGUGGACAAAUUCACUAAGUGGAUAGAAGCUAAACCGGUCAAAACGGCUGAGUCCGGCCUGGUGAUUGACUUCAUAUCCGGUGUUGUGCACCGUUAUGGUGUCCCACAUAGCAUCAUCACCGACAAUGGCUCUAAUUUCACAGCCGACGAGGUAAAAACCUGGUGUACUAAUCUGGGUAUUAAACUCGAUUACGCCUCCGUCUACCACCCACAAACCAACGGUCAAGUCGAACGAGCCAACGGUCUUAUUAUGAGCGGCAUCAAGCCCAGACUAGUGCGGUCUUUGAAAGAAUCAGACAAGCACUGGGUUGAGGAACUCGACUUCGUACUCUGGGGGCUGCAGACCACGCCCAACCGUACUACCGGAUACACACCUUUCUUCAUGGUGUAUGGCACAGAGGCCGUAUUGCCUUACGAUAUUAUUCACGACUCACCUCGAGUGCAUAUGUACGAAGAGAGAGAAGUCGAGCUUGAUCGGCAGGACAGCCUAGAUGCCCUGGAGGAGGAACGCGAUGUCGCAAAAGCCCGUUCAACAUUCUACCAACAGCAGGCUCGAAGAUACCAAAGCAGAGAAGUACGGGCCAAGACUUACAAUGUUGGCGAACUCAUUCUACGCCUGCUGGAGAAGAAAAAUGACAAACUCAAGACCAAAUGGGAGGGUCCCUUCAUAAUUGACGAAGUUCUCACCGGAGGAGCGUACCGUCUUCGUGAUGCAUCAGAUAAUCGCCUCGAGCCGAACCCCUGGAAUGCGGCCAGACUCCAAAGAUUCUAUGCCUAGCGUCGAACUCCUUGUUCGUCUCCUUCUCCCCUGUAGUUUCCAUUAUUUUUUCUCUCUUUUCCGAUUACUUUUUCAUUCUUCACUUUAAAAGUUUUGGUACGGCUAGACCGCACACCGCUAACACAUACAUAUUUAAAAUAUGUAUGUCCAUUAUACCUGGGGGCUUGUUGGAUAGAAGCUUUUUAUCAUUAUUCUUGGAGCAUCAAGCUCUUCACAUAUGAGUUCUUCCAUAUGUACCUUUUCUUCGCCACUAUAUGCAUCGAUAUGACUUAAGUUUUGGCCAAGCUGGGUUGCCUGGCUCCUGUGCUUAUGCCCUACGUUCUCGUUAGUUCGGCUAGGGCAUAAAGGGAGCACCUCUGCGAUUGUUACUGUUGGGUCAUCCGGAUGUGUACCUCAGACUGGGUGAAGCCGAAAGCUAGCGUUCUUAAGGGAAUAUUCGGUCGGUGAAUUAAAGAUGUUUUUGCAAUUACUCCAUUGGUAACCCCCAGAAGUUACAUACACUGUGAUUUUUCCAUCACAAUUCGGACAUGUACAUUAAUACAUGCACACCCAGGGAAAGGAACCCUUAACGGAACUAUUCUCUCUGGAAGAUGUUUCUUACGAUCUCAAUGUAAUAUAACAUAACUAGCAGAAUACAACUUGUCUGUUCAAGCAACUAUGACCCCUACGCCUAGUUUUCCAGGCAUACCUCGGCCUAUUCGGUCGUGAGGGUAUUCGGAAGCACUCUGCACCCUUGGGUCCGGAGGUUGAAGCGAAAAGGUCUGCCAUGACAAAUGCUAUACAAUUCAGCUAGAAUUACAUAGGGUAAGGAAUGUACAUAGUCACUUGGACUCAAACACUUCACCCUCUAUACCGUCCAACAGUCGGUCCAACUUAUAAUCCUGUUGGGAAUAUUUGGCGGCCACCUCUACUUGGUCAUAUAAUAAACUAACGGGAAUUUGCUCCCCAUUUGACCCUAGCGGUCCAACUCGGGCCAUGUGAUUCAGAUCCAGCUUGGUAUAUCGCGUUUUCAUCAUGGCACAGGCCUCUUGUGCACCCUCUCGGCGGGUUGAUAUCUUCCAUAGUCGGAUACGCCGCCGCGCUCCCUUGAACAGCUCUACAAGCUCCUCCAUACUUCCUGGAGGGGAGGUGGACGACCAUAAGGCCUUGGCCACGCUCCGCAUGGCUAGCCGAGCAUGCUCGUGCACUUGUGACUGCCUUUGCAGCAGAUCACUUCAUGAUCCGGACACCUCCUCUUCAGGAUGGCCCGUCAGUAUACCUGCAAACAUGACUAUAUCAGUCCCAUUUAUCUCUGAGCUACUUCAAAAAUAGUCGAACACAUACUGAAGAUACCGCCCCACAGCUUUUUGUUUUCCUUCAUGGAAUCAUCUAGCUGGGCUCGAACAUCUUUCAACUCUUCACCCAAUGCGGUGUUGGAAUCCUGUAGCUUGUUUUUCUCAUCUCUGACGCGGGUCAGCACACGCUCGCCUGCGGCGUGUUGCCUUUUCGCCUCUUUUUCUCCCUCUUGGGCGACCUUCAACUUCUCUUCAAGUUGAUCAGACGACCCUAUAAUGCGAAAUCAGCAGCAGCAUUAGCGCAGCAUGUACACAAUUAUUGUUCCUCGGUGGAGGGGAACAUUACCAGAAGACGACUUCUUCACGUUUCCCAGUUCGGCGGUAGCAGCUUUUAGCUCCGCCCGACACUGCUCCAUCUCUUGGGCUAGCAGGCCAUUCUUCUCUGCGAGGACCUGGUUGUUCAACGAUCCUUAAAUCAGUUAUGCCAACUGCUUUCAGUCUCGGGGGCUACGGGCAUAUGGUUAUCCUUUUUUGACAAAGAAAACUUACGUGCACAUCUGUCAGAUAUUGCCUUGUGGCUUUUCUAAGCCCGUCUCGAGCAGCCUGGAUGUAUGCGUCGCCCGAGCUAAAGGCAUUGAAUGCCUCGUCCGAGAACUUGGGGUCUUGUAAAACAGCCAUGCAGCGCCGAUGAUUCAUGGCGCUCUCUACCUUCGAGUUGGUGACGGACAUAUUGUCCGAACACUCGGCCGACGGGCAGUCCGGCGUUGUUCCUACAUCGGCCCCCGUCUCCCCGGUUGGAUCUAAAUCCUGGUUGUUGGGAGCGCGGCCGGCCGGGCCCCCGGAUAUAGUUCGGCGAACCUUUUUCCUGUAUCCAAACAAACUCACAAGUCACAGUCGGGUAUCGUCGCUGAAAAACAUAUUUUUCCGUACCUCCUCAAUGAAGGCCCGGCUGGGUUUUCACGGGCCUUCCUCUUCGAAGGCUUGCCCGGCGCAGGAACCGAUCUCUUUGGAAUCGCCGAACGCCUCCCCUGUGGAGCACGAUACAGUGUGGUGGGUGAGGCAGGAUAAAAGCACCAUUUUAGAGAAGGCGUUUCUGGAUCACUCACAUGUGAAGCAGGGAGAAGGCCAGGGUAGUCGGCGGUGAUGGCCACUUCUGUGCCGUCAUAGCUCGCCUGGUAAAAUACCCCCUCUGCGAGUAUCACGAAUAUGUCCGGAUCCUCUUCAAAUCCGGGGUCACGCUCCCGGUUGUGGUUCUCCGGAUGUGGGGCGGGACUAUAAAGUCCUUCGGUGACCUUCCGCCAGUGCUGUCAUAACAGACGGAUUUGAAAUUUAUCAAAAAUAAUCUGGAAGCGAAAUGAGUGAAACAGAGGGGUUGAGGCUUACCCAACUGGGAGGAUUAUACAUAGAAUACCCAUCUCUGCGCUUAAUGGGAAGAAAUUCCUCUUCUUCUCCUUUAAACAGCUCGGCCAAUAUCUUGGCCAGAGCGGCGGAGGUGUCCGGCCCUUUUCGGCCACAGCGGGAGGCGUCAUCCUCUCCGUUAUAGUGCCACAUUGGCAGCCCUCUGUAUUGAAGCGGCUGAACCCCUCGCACUAUGGAAAUCGCCAUAACUUCGACUAUUGUAAGUCCGGACUGAGCGAGCGUCUUUAUCUUGUUCGGGAGCUGACGAACUUCAGCGCUGUCAUCCUCUUCAAGACUCCGGGGACGCCAACUGUGGCGUUUCUUCAGCGGAACACUUGCGAAUUCAGGAAGACCCUUUCGAACCGGGUUAGGGAGUGCGACGUCCUCAAUAUAGAACCAUUCGGAAGGCCAUUCUUCAGAUGCCUUCCUGGGUGUGUCGGACGGAUAUCCGGUAUCGGUGAUACGCCACACUUCGGCUCCGCCCACUUCAAAUAUUGACCCCUCAUGAUUGCGCGGGACAAGACAGAACAAUUUCCUCCACAGCUCAAAAUGGGCUUCAAUGCCCAGGAAGAAUUCGCAUAAAGCGACAUAACCUGCAAUGUGCAGAAUGGAGGCAGGGGUGAAGUUGUGCAGCUGGAGGCCAUAGUAUUCCAGAAGCCCUCGGAGGAACGGAUGGAUGGGAAAUCCAACACCUCUUAGCAGGUAGGGGAUGAAACAUACUCGCUCUCCCCCGGAUGGAUUGGGGAAGUCCUCUGCCUGAGUCUCACCGUUGAAGAAGUCUAGCCCCGCUCGGACAGGGACUAGAUCUGCAGGAGGAAGAAAUCCCUGCGUUUGCAGCUUCGUCAAUCGGUUGUGGGACACCGAACACCUCUCCCACUCGCCUCUCUCUAGGCCAGAACGGGUGGAGGAGCGGGGGACGAUAGCCAUCUGGAAUGGUUUCUCUUAAACAGUCUCCGGGAAUUUUCUCUGCAUGGUGCCCAAUGGAUCUAGGAUCCAACCUCUUUAAUAGGCGCUCUUCCGUGCAUGGAUGGGGUGUUAUCUGCAAAAAUUACCUGACCUUCCACCUUCGCUCGACGCGUGGAAGACGAAGUUAUUUAAGGCGCAGAAGCCGAGGGGAGCGACAUUGGGUCAAUGGCCGAAUACUUUACUUGAAGAUCAUUAAAGGAGGAACCCGCCUUGCAAUGCCGAAGACAAUUUGUGUGCCGAACACCUCGCUAUUGAAGACUGGUUCGGGGGCUACUAAGGGAGUCCUGGACUAAGGGGUCCUCGGGCGUCCGGCCUAUUAUCCAUGGGCCGGAUUAAUGGGCUGUGAAGACAUGAAGGCCGAAUACUGUACCCGUGUCCGGAUUGGACUCUACUUGGCGUGGAAGGCAAGCUUGGCGACCGAUGAUGAAGAUUCCUUCUUAUGUAACCGACUCCAUGUAAACCCUAGAUCCCCCCGGUGUCUAUAUAAGCCGGAGGGGUUAGUCCGGAAAGGAUACACACAUUACCAUAGUCAUAUAGGCUAGACUUCUAGGGUUUAGCCAUUAUGAUCUCGUGGUAGAUCAACUCUUGUAAUACUCAUAUUCAUCAAGAUCAAUCAAGCAGGAAGUAGCACUACUAGAAAAAGCCCUAUUAGUGGCGCACCUGUUUUCGUUAGUAAUGGCGCACUAUAGGUGCGCCACUAUUAACACGCCACUAGUAACAGAUAGUAAUGGCGCACCUCUGGUGCGUCAUUAGUAAUCCAGAUAGUAAUGGCGCACCUCUGGUGCGCCACUACUAACCCUUAGGUGCUCCACUGGUAUUCCCUCUAAGUGCGCCACUAAUAGCCUUAUAGGUGCGCCACUAGUAAUAAAGGAAGGUGCGCCACUAAUAAGGGCUGAAAUGCGCCACUAGUAAUGUAUUUGGAAAACAAAAAAAAUCCAAAUUUACAGAAAACAACCUAUAAGGAAAAAUAAUUUAAAAACAAAAAAUGAAAUAGAAUCAUAAUUUUUAUUAUAGUAAGAAUAUUACAAUGUCUUUACAAGUAUCAAAUAAAAGAAAAAUUACAAGGAAAUAAAAGAAAAUUCUAAAACUAAUCUUCGAGUAAUCUUUUCUUCUUUUUCUUUACUUUAUCCCUGCAAAGAAUGAUAGAAAUAUGUGAGAAUGAACAUUGCAGAGAAGUGAAAUUGAGCAAUUAUUUGCAUCCGACAUCGAAGAUCUAAGAUACCUUGAAUCAUAGACAUGGGUCAUUUCAUGAAGCCAAGAGUCUAUGCCAUUCAGGAUGCAUAGUUCCCUGUCAGAAGAACUUAUUUAUUCAGUAAACACAGUCCUAAGCUUUUUACAUGAGACAAAACAUAAGGUACAUGCACUACACCACGGUCAAGUAUUGGUGACACAUCAAUCUGUCGGCAUAUGGUGUCUUUGCCGACACAUAAUUUGUAGCUAACACAUAUGCUGACAGAAGACUGAACAGUCGGAGGACUUGCUGUGGGGAAAGGCAUUGCCGACAGAAGUUCAUUUGCCGACACAUUUUGAGUCGGCAUACACCCUACCUACGCCCCUGUGCACAUACACCUACCUACCCCGACACAUGAUUUGUGGGCAUACACCCUAGCUACGGCGACAGACGGGGUGUGAACAUAGACCCCACUUUUGGCAACACAUAAGUUGUCCUGCUAGGUAUAUACCUUUGCCGACACUUGUUCUGUUUGGACAGGUCUAUACCUUUGCCAACACUUAUGUUGUCUAGAUAGGUACAUACCUUGGACGACACAUACUCUGUCUAGCUAGGUACGUACAAAUUGCCUACACUUAUUCUGUCUAGCUAGGUAGUAACCAUGGCUGACAAUUACUCUGCAAGAAUCUGUUUACCAGCAGAUAAAUUGUUGGAAAUGUAGUGUACAGCCAAACCAAUGAUUUGAUACAUAUACUAUAUACAAUGUCAAAUGCGAUCAACAAACAACAUCAAGAUGAACACAUAUUGGACAACAAUGAUGAUAGGUUCACAAACAUACAUAAAUAUAUAUUCACACAGGUUCACAAGCAUAGUUUGACCAUCCAGAACACACAAGUCAAAGGGCCACUAUUUGCUAGUCUGAACUAAUUCAAACAAUGGUCCAGAACACAUAAAUCACAUACAUGAGCACAAAGUUUCUACUCCAAAACACUUGAAGCACCAAAUGGUCCAGAACACACAUAAGAUUCAAGAAAUGAUUGAAGUUGGUUGGUCCAAAAUACUGCAAACAGCCAUAUGUGUUCCAUGACACUCCAAGUCCUCCUCACAUCCAAUGCUAGGUGUGGCUAAGUACCUGAAAAUAUUCCAUAUGAAUUUGUCACGAAAGUGCAAUCAUUCCAAAAGUUGUUCAAAGCUCAUAUGAAGAUUGUUAGGAUAGAGCGGCACAUGCUAGCUUAUACUUGAUUGUUCAUGUGAGAGUAACAUUGUUAUAUGGCCAUGAAUACACACAAAUAUAUUUGUUCCUAUGCGGUGAAGUGUAGUGUUGCGGGCUUCCUUCUCCACAGGAAUCAAUCACCACAGGAAACAAUGUUCUGCUAUUUUUGUCAACAUCAUUUGAUCAACACACUUGAGUUCCUUUUGGUUUCAUGUCCCAGAAUUAUUAGCAAGAGCAUUCCCAGAAAAUCUACUUGUGCAUAUAUGCUACAGAAAUGCUUAUGACGAGUAAAACACAUUCUCAAAAAUAAGCUUGGUAUGGCAACAAACAAACUAAACUAAUACAAGGGGAAAGGAUGCAGAAUUAGGAUGUGGCUAUUUUCAAGUUUGUAACAUAUUUGACCAAGAUCAGGACAUGGAUUAUCAAUAUGCUUCCGCAGAAUCGUUUCUUAAUUGAGCCGCACGACACCAUCAGAAUUACAAUAUUCUAUUCUGGAGCUCAAAAGUUCAGACUGGUGGCAAGUUAAUAAGCUAACAUGGCAGCUCUGUGAGUCUGCAACAGGUUAUAAAGGAUAAGAUGAUGCCUACAAACUUGGCAAUAAAUGCCAUAAGAUAGGAUUCCUGAUCAGCAAUAUUAUUUGUUAACAACUCAUAGUAGUAGUUGUAGCUUGUUAUAUUUAAGAACAGGCAGUAGUAGUUUAUAAAGAAAUGGGCUUGUCAGAUACUAAGAGUUGUAGGUUGUAAUAAUAUUUAAGAACUGGCAGUAGUAGAUUGUACUAAACUUUUAUAUGCUAUAGAGGAAACAUGGCUGGGCCUUAUGUAGUUAUGUUGCACUUCUUUGUACAUUGUCUUGACACAUUCAGUUUACUUGUAAUGUAUAAAUUAGAUGAAGAGAUACUACAAUAUCACGAUCCAUUGAGGAUGAAGCUGAGGUUACCAUCUAUGAUCUAUUUAAAGAGGAAAUAAAAAUCUAAAGCUUCAACAAGUAGAGGCAACUGCUGUUAGUACCUGCAACUCCUGGCACAUUAGUUGUCUUCUUGGCAUCUUUGAUCUGCAACAAGACAACAACAAUCAUUACUCUUUGGUCUGAUUCCCAAAACAACUGAAAAAUAGGCAUUCAAAAAUAGGCCUACAUGUAAUUAUUACUAGUACGAAUGCCGUGCUACAAUCUUCAACUUCAGUAUCAAAUAUACUGUCAUCAGAGACGCCCGAGUAGUUCCGCUGCACUGAGAGCGCUCUGCUGAUGUUGCACAGCACGGCCUGCUCGUGCUACUGCUCUUGCAUGCUCGGGCUGUCGGGCGUCCGGAAAGAAGAAAAAUUGUAGAGCUGCGACAGCAGCAGCUUCAGGUGCUGAUGUGCUCUUGAGGAAUCCUUCCAUGUUGGUAAAUUCAGUCUCCGGUCUCUUAGCAUAGAUAAGAUAAAUAGCAAUUUCUUAGUCUGUGUUGCUACUCAUUAAUUCUUUUAGACCACCGAUGUGGUUAGUAAAAAGAUCAAAAAGUUCAGCAUAACUCAGACCGAUGUGGAUAGUUCACACGGGUUAAUUUGUUCUUUCAUGCGCACAUAUUAAUCAAAUAAAUUCUUCCAAUCUAGUUAAUUGUGCUGCUGGAUUUUGGUGGCCAUUCUGGAUGUAUAAAUUUGUUGUGCGGAUCUCUAAACUAAUAUGGAUCUGUUUACGAACUAUAACUUAGCACUAUAUCAAGUUCUUGCUAUCAGUUUGAUUUUGGUGGUCCAAGUGGAUAUAUACACGAGUCAUACAGCCACAGUCUGCACUAUUUGGUUAAUGAGAACGGAAGGAGCACAACACUGACCCCAUCGCUUAUCUCAGCCAGCUUCAGGUCCACCAUGGCCACCUACACCGAGCGCCAUAUCACGUCCCCGAGCUUCGUUGUCGACUCAUCUACACCAACCCAAUCACCACAAACAGAGAUAUCAGAAUAGUUCAUGACAUAAUUAUACCGCUUAUGAGUUGGGGAAAAAGGAAACUUUGAUGUACCUAGGCUUAGACAACCACGUUUUGUCCAUGAUGCACCAUUAAUAUCAAAUUUUCCAAGUAUCUGAAUUUGGCUAGUGCGACAGUGUUAGUUUUGCAUCGGUGAAGCAACAAUCAUUAUUCAUUAUUCAGGCAAAUAGCAGUACAAAACAAUCAAGCAACAGAAACACAUUCUUGUCCGGUUGUCUACUGUCACAAGCAACGACAUAUGAAUUAAGUGCAGCAGUACAGCAAAGGAAAACUUAGGAGGAGUUGACGCUUACCUCAAGGCACGGGGACGGCUGGAUUCGGGAGGGGCACAGCUCGAAGGAGAUGGAGCCCCGGCAGCAGGUCCGGUAGCAGCGUAAUGAGCCUGGAGAUGGAUCCCUGGCAUCAGCAUGUCCGGCAGCAGCGGGAGGCCAGCAAUGGAGCCCCGAUAGCAGCAGAUCCGGCAGCAGCGGGAGCACGACGAUGGAGCCCCGGAGGUAGCAGGGAUGGAGAUUCGCGAGGACGACGGCUGGAUGUCAGGAGGACACGAGGACGGCCGUCGGAUUGUGGAGUGCGAGGACCGCGGCUCGAUCUCGGGGAGAGGGGGCAGAGUGCGAGGAUGGGUGGAUGUGGGGUGGAGCUUGGGGGAGGGGGGUGCGACCUCCGGGACGACGGCUUGACGACGGGGUCGAGCGCGAGGCCGGCGGCGAUGGCGGCCGGACUUUGGAUCGAGCGCGAGGCCGGCGGCGAUGGCGUCCGGACUUUGGAUCGAGCGCGAGGCCGGCGGCGAUGGCGUCCGGACUUUGGAUCGAGCGCGAGGCCGGCGGCGAUGGCGUCCGGACUUUGGAUCGAGCGCGAGGCCGGCGGCGAUGGCGUCCGGACCGUGGAUCGAGCGCGAGGUGGGCGGCGACAGGGCACGGGUUAGGGUUGUGGAGUUGUUCGAUUUGGGGAUUGUUUGCUCGGG
RNAcentral lists this long non-coding RNA (88616 nucleotides) under Triticum aestivum (bread wheat). RNAcentral's name for it is "long non-coding RNA (TAES_LNC018543)". Lineage: Eukaryota; Viridiplantae; Streptophyta; Magnoliopsida; Poales; Poaceae. The record is from RNAcentral.